CGAGCUCUGAUACCUGAUCCAAUCUGGUAUUCUACUCCCGGGAAUCACAAAAGCGACGUCAGAAUCCUGCAGAAAGAAAAUAAAUAAUGUCCAUGUUGAGAGAGCGAGAAAUUGCUACUUUCCCAUCUUGAUUCAUUCAACAUUUAUUUUACACUUAGUAAAACAGAACAAAGACUAAAAUAUGAGUUGUCUCCUCAUAUUUCAUACAGGAAUUAUAAAAAUAAAAAAUAAAAUUUCUGGCAAAAGCUUUUUAUUUUUUAUUUUUUAUAACGAAAAUUGGAUAUAAAGAGAACUCACUAGGGAUUCGAGUUCCCACGGCCUCAGCAGCUUGAGUGAUUCAGUUGUUCCCAAUGAUGUGCAAUCUGUUGCAUUUAAAGAACGUAUGCUUGAUGGAAGCUGUGGAAGUGCCUCUAGUCUUUUACAAUUUCCCAACACAAGCGUUUUCAGGUGAGAAAGUCCACUCAUGUUAGGCAAAGUGACAAAGUUGUUUCCCCUUAAAAUUAAAUCUUCAAGUGAAGAUGGAAACUGUGGAAGUGCCUGCAGUCUUUUACAAUUUUCCAACCCAAGAAAUACCAGGUGAGAAAGUCCACUCAUGUUAGGCAAAGUGACAAAGUUGUUUCCACUUAAAUUUAAGUCUUCAAGUGAAGAUAAGAAGCCAAGGCUACCAAGAUUUGCUCCAUCUGAUAUAUUGCAGUCACUUAAAUCUAGCUUCUUUAAAUAGCACAAGUUUGAGGAAGAAGGUACCGUGAAACAAAUAGAAUUUGAACUUCUUUUUGACCACAACCAUGAGGCAGAUGCUGGUCCACAUCCACGGAAAGACAACUUUUUAAGGUUUCUCAUAGAAAAAUUGGAAGGGGGUAGUGCUCUUACCACAGUUCCAUCUUCGUGAAGCUCCUUCAACAUUUCUAAGUUCCCAAAAUUCUCUGGAAAUUCUUCAAAUUUGGAGCAACCAGAAAGAAUUAAUGUUCGAAGAGAUUUGAAAUUCCAAAUCCUGCUUGGAAGCCUUCUAAGCAUUUUGCAAUCUUUUAAACUCAAGAAAUUUAGCUUCUUCAAAUCUCCAAGAGAUGGGUGAACCUCAGGCAAAUUUAUACAACCUUCUAAAACUAGACGUUCAAGGUUGGUGAUACCUGAGAAAUCUGGAGUUUCUAUCAAGCACUUAGAGUGGCUGAGAUCCAUGGAUUUUAAGCUUUUAAGAACCUGUCAUAAAAGAAAGUUAACUUAAAAAUUAGCUUCCCUAUAUAUUACAUACUUCCUAAAGAAAAUAACAUGAGUUGUAGAUCAUAAUAAUACCUUGAUUCCUUUCCAAAGUUUUUUAAUGUGACUAUAAGGCAUACUGAGAUCAACAAGAUGCUUUGGGCUGAAAUCCUUUGGUAAUGAUUUCAAAGAGUAUCCAUGCCAAUAUAAGUACCUCAAAUCAUCGGAACAAAAUUUAAAUUCAUGGGCAAACCGCACUCUACAAUUCACUUUGUUGUUAAAGGUAAAGGUAUCUCCGAAGUCUCCUAAAAUACUCUUAGAAUUAUAGACUUUGAGCAAUCUAAGUUUUUUCAUCCCAGCAAAGGCUUCAGUGGUGAAGUCUAGUAUAUCUUCUAAAUGAGACAAGUCGAGGAAAAUGCCUUCAAUUUUUUCACUUCCCUACAAACCAAGAAGCAAAUUAAGUGAAAAGCAUUCAAAAUGCAAAAAAAAAUUACUAUAAUUUCAUCAACAUAUUAGUACUUAAAAUAAAAUAAUUCUUAAUUUGUUCUACACAAAAUAAAUUUCGUGUUUUAUUUUUCUCUUACCAUAUUUCUUUUCAACACAUCAAAGAUAUCUUCUUGUUCCCACAAUCUACUUCGUCUUCCAGGCUCUUUUGGACAUUCUUGGCGAACAAUUUCCCACCCCAUUUGUUGUAACAAAUCAUGCAUGUCUAACUUGUUUCCAGAAAUACUUAUGAGACACUUAUCAUGGAGAACUCCUAUUCCACUUUCUGCAUAGAAAUCCUCAUCUAACAUUCUUGAAACAAAAUCUUUAUCUUUCCCUUUAAAAAAACAUGCAAUAUCUAGGAAUAUUCCCUUUUCCACAUCAUCUAGUCCAUCAUAGCUUAUUUUGAGUACAUUUUGAAUGCCCAUAUGGGGUAUUGUUUUAAGUUUACACAAUGCACUUUCCCAUUCACUUAUUGUCUUUUUAAAGAGAAAAGAACCUAGAACCUCAAGUGCUAGUGGAAGACCUUUAGCAUAAUCUACUACCUGGUAGGAGAGAUUUUUAUAAAUUUCAUUAGGAAGAUUUUGUUUGAAAGCCCACCAACUAAACAGCUCAAUAGCUUCUGCAUCAUGUAGUAUCGGAACUUCAUAUGAUUCUUUGACUCCAUAUUGGGUUAGAAAAUGUUUGUGUCUAGUUGUUAUGAUGAUCCUACUUCUUGGACCAAACCAACUAUGCUCUUCUGCCAAGUUUUCUAUUUGCAUCAAAUCAUCCACGUCAUCAAAAACAACAAGAACCCUUUUAGAGCUGAGACUCCUCUUUAUCAUCUGAAUUCCUUCAUCCAUAUUGCUUACUUUUGGACUUUUUCCCUUUAAGAUACCAUGAAGUAGUUCUUGUUGUAAUUGAAGUGCAUUGUCUUUGGAUCUUUCUCUAACAUUGUUAAGAAAACUACUACCAUCAAAUUGAUAUGAGAUAUCAUUAUAAAUAGCCUUGGCGAUAGUAGUCUUACCAAUCCCACCAAUUCCAUAAAUCCCAACCACACGAACUUCAUUCAACUCAAUAUUCAUCAACGAUUUCAACUUUUCCAAAUGAAAAUCCAUUCCAACUAUAUUCUUGCCCACAUUUAAAGGCUUACGAUUCAAUCUUCUAAUGAUGUCAUCAGUAAUUUCCUUGACAACCAGUGUCUCGUAUCUGCGUUAAUUACAAAGUAAAUGUGAUGAGUUGCAAAAUAUAACAAAGAAGUAAGUUUCAUGAUGUCUCUUGCUGUCUACCAGAACUGAAUUACAGGCAAUGGAAUAUAAAACGAUAAAUGGUCAACCAAUUUAUAAAAUUUACAUGUUUAGGUAGAAUUUAGUAUGUACACAUGGAAAAGAAAAGUGAAAAAAAGACAUAAAUAUGAUUUGUGUUAGCUUUCAUAGCUGGAUUGAUGGGAAGGCUCACAAUGAAAUAAAAAAGUGAAAGAUAUUACUAGCCUUAUAUGAUUAUCAGAGCAUUAGCAGAUAUAACUUUUAAUUUCGUACUUUCAAGCUUUUGGUUUUUUCCCAUCCAAGUUUCCUAAUCUAAUAACACUUUUGUUGAUGGGAGAAUUGUUAAAGGCUCCCCUCUUUGCUCCCAUGGCCUCCUUUCAACCAUUAUAACACAAACAAGUUGCUUAUGGCUCCUUUUCAAUUUUGCCUGUUUCUAAAUUGUAUCAACUUACUAAUGUUUUAAGACUUCCUACUUAAUUCACUUAUUAGUUAUUAAGUUUCACAUGUUCAUAGAAACUGUCAUGCAUUUUUCCAGAAGGGAUGGGGUACAAUGAAGAAUGUUCCAUAGGUUGCUUGAAGAACAUUGAACGAGAUAGAAAAAGAAGGGGAAGAAUCUUUUAGAGAAAAGGGUUAAGUUUUGGUGUUUUUACUUUUGGGGGAACAUAUAUAGAUAGAGAGUUUUUGCUAAUGCUUUCAUUCAUGAUGAGAAAGAUAAAAAUAAAGACUAAUAGCAUACAAAGUCAAGAUUAUAUAAAGCAAACCGAACUCAAGAUUAUAUAAAAUAAUAUUAAUAAAUUCAUCCAUAUUACUCAUGGUAGGAGGGAUAAGAGAUUGAAUUUAAGAAUAAGCAACACAAUGCCAAUACUAAGGUUAAUGGCACAUAUAUGCUACUUCCUACUCAGUAAAUAAAAAAAUGCAUUAAGAAGAUCAUAAAAAUUGAUCAGUAACAAAUUCUUAAGUCAAUGGAAAUUCUGAUAUGGUCAAGCUUGAGACUACUUUUUUGCCUCUGACUAUCUUUGGGAUUAAAGAGGCAGCCUCAUGUAUUAAUUAAAAUAAUAGGUUCAUUUGAGGGCACCAUAAACCUUCAAAUACAAGUCUAAAAUCAAAUAGUGUCUCCCUUCACUUGUUUGUCAGCUUUAAAUAAAAUUAAUAAACUACAAUGUAUUCCUAAAAGGCAAACACAUCCCAACAAAUUAGCCACAAAAUCAAGAAAAUUUAAAGACACAUAUGACAUUCAAAGAACAUGAAGCCCAAACCUAUUUGUGCUUUAUAUAAUCAUUGGUGCACAGGCCUUAUAAAAUCACUGGUGCCUCACAGCAAAAUGAAGUGGCUAAACAUAUGAAUAAUAUAUUUAUAGAUUUUUACAAGCCUAUGUUAAUGUGUUGCAAGUCCACAAAAAAGUUUUGACUUGCGAACAUGCAAAACUUUUGUCAAGGCAUGGCCUAUAAAGGUGAUAUGAAGUGAAUGUAAUAUAGAUGAUAGACUAUAAAGAGAGGUAGAGAUCCUAUAAUGACAACAAAAUCCUUCAUGGUGAGAAAACAAAACAUGAUUCCUAGACUUGUCGCAGCCACUAAAAAUGAUACAAAUUGGGUGGAUUGAGUCGAGUUGAUAGUUAAUUCAACCUUAGCCUUAACAUGAAGCUCAUUUGCCUUAAUUCGAACCUAAACUAAUACUCUGUCUGAGUUGUCUAACCCGAAAUCAACCCAAGCUCAGUUGAAACUAUAUAUACAAGCAAUAUACAUAAAGCAACAAAAACAGAGAGUGCAAGGCCAAUAAAUUUGUUCUCAAAGGAGAUUGAGAGGCCCAAAUGUAUUUUGUUGGGAAGUCUAUUCUAGAUUCAGCAUAGAAAGGACUGCAGAACCAAUUAAUUAUUUUUAUGAUUAAUGGAGCCCAAACCUAUUUGUUUAUUCAAGCAGACAUGUUUCAGCUCAAUUAAUCAUUAAAAUAAACUUGUUCUUAUGUUUUCCAAAGAAUCAGUAUUAACCGGAUAGUAUCCUCAACAAAACCAAUAAAAACUAAUGAAUUCAAAUGAAUUUAGGAAGAAAGGUCAUCCCAGUUGUCCUCCCUGUAUCGGGUAAUUAAACUCAUAGGAGUCUCACCAUCACCAAAGGGUGAAACUAGAGUCUCCACAUAGAAAGGCCACAUCCAACCUAGAGAAAUUACUGCAAAGGAUGAUAUCCUUUAUAUCAUAUUUAGAGCAUUGGAACAGAGAGCCAUAAUGGAGAAUUUAUUCCAUUUCUCUUUCAUUACCAUGAUUGGAUGGCUUAUUAGAAUGUGAAUAGAAACUAAAAAAUUGUUCUCAUGGAGAUGAAAUGCCAUUAAUCAGGAUUUUCAUUCUUCUCUUGCAUUCAUCCCAUUCUCAUUCUGAUUCUUUUAUACCAAAGGACCCCUAAAUGUGUUUUCUUUUGUAAGGCACACAAUACCAAAUCAUAGUCAAAACCACACAAGAAACUGACCAUUCUUCAGGCCACACUGGUUCAUCACUCAACCACCUGCAAAAACUAUGGCAUUCAUCAUGUAGAUAAAAGACAUCCUCCUAGAGCCCUCAGAUGAACAAAACCACAUCCAGCAGGUAGCCAUCAGUUGAGGGGUCAUAACUAAAUCCAUAGAAACACAAACCCCCUUGCUUAUUCGGAAUACCUGUAAGUGGGUAUUAUUUGGUUGAUGGGUUUAACAAGACAAGUUACAAACUAGACAAAUCAAGCCAUAUCACCAAUCCAGGGAAACAAAGUUUCAAAAUUUUAGUAUUACUAAGAAUUUUAUUUAUUAAGGUUUCUUAUAUUAUAUUGAGAAGACAUUUUAACCUCCAAAAUCAGAUGAUAUUUUAAAUUGGGGCCGGGUCAUCACAACUUAAUUGAUAUUGUUUUAAAUAAGAAAAAUUAUCAUAGAAACCAAUGAAAGAAAAGAAACAAAAUUGAUUGUAAAACUAAUGGUAGGUGAGAUAAAAUUUCUUACUGUUCAUCAACGUGCAAUCCGCACAGACUAGCUACUUGGUUCAAGGCAGUCCUCCACUUUUGUAUCACCUCCAUCUUCUUCUCGUCUGCAUCUUUUUCAUGGUCCACAAACGCAUCUCCAUAACUUCCCGACUGUUUUCGUACAUCGGAUGGAUUCACAUGAUAGAAAAUUGGUAGAAUUGUUGAUUGCUUUUGUGUCGUACACUCAAAAAUUUUUACGAGUUCAUUUAAACACCACCUGGAGUUAGCAUAAUUUGUCGAGAAAAUAAUAAUGAAAAUCUUUGAUUCUUCAAUGGCUCUCAAGAGAUCAGAUGCAAUAUCUCCUCCUUUCUCAAGUUCUUCAUCAUCUCUGAAAGUAUGAAUUCCAUAUGCAACCAAAGUGGUAUAGAGGUGAUCGGUGAAAUUUUUGCGAGUGUCUUCACCUCUAAAACUUAUAAACACCUCAUAACUAUGAGGAGAAGAAGGAGAAGAAGAGGCUUUUUGGCCGCUGGUAGAAGCCAUUUUUGGAUUGUUUGUGCUGAACCUGCAAAAGUCUGGAAAAAAAAAGAGGGUCUUUGGAUGGUGAAUGACUACUCCUGGCUUCUUAAGCCAUUUAAAUCUUGAUGGAAAAAGGAAGGAUGUAAUUCCUAUGGAACUUCGGGGAAGAAAGGCAGUACUCUAAAGUCUAAAGUAAACGAAGUUAAUGUUCAUUUUCUUUUGAAUUUGUGGGGCUACCAUUAAUGUCCAUUUUCUCAAUUAUUCCACAGUUGUGUCUUGUGUGGCUAUCAUUUCUUCUUUGCAGUGAUAUCCCAUACAAUUAGAUGCUAGUGGGUUCGGUCUGAAUCAAAGACAGGUCAUCAUUCCUAUACUUUCAGAUAUCAAUGGUUUGAUUUCUUCUUCUUUUUUUUUUUUUUAACAUUUUACUUUUGUUUUGCUUUUCUCCUUUUAUACUUUCGUAAUUGGCGUCGAAUCUUUCCUCCAAAAUUUUUCCCUUUUCUCUCUAAUGUCUUGAAAUUAGUUGGAAUUUACUUUUCCUUCCUCUUUUUGUAAGGGAGUCAUCCAACUCCUAAAUGAGUUAAAUCUUUCUUUUCACCCAUAUGCUUACAGGAUAUGAACGGAGAAGGUGGAGAGUGGCCCACACGAUUUGUGGGACAAGUUAAAUGACUUUUUUAGUCCUCAUUCUCAUCCGUAGAGUGCAUACCGUAGUUGGACUUGGAGGAUCCAUGGGAGAGUCAGGGUGUAUUUUGCAGGGAUUUCAAUAACAAUUUAAAAUUAAAUAAAUUUUGAUAACAGUUGUUUAGGAAUCAAAUGAUAGUAUUUCCAAAAAUAAUUCUUGAAGGAUGAUUUUAAUAAAAAAAAUUUAAAACAUGAAAUAGAAAUCACCAAACAUACAGUAAAAAUCAAUUUCCAAAUAUCCUUUUUGUUUCAAAAUCAUAUAUAUAUAUAUAUAUUUUCUAUUAAUGGAAUAUAUAUACACAUAUAUAAAAUCUUUAAUUCCCAAAAAUGAUCUUCAAAUUCUUAAAACAUGGAAAAUGUUUUUUUUUCAAUAGAAAUACCAUCUAUCAAACCUUUUUUUAUUUAUUUUUAUUUAUAUAUAUAUAUGUAUAUAUAUAUAUAUAUAUAUCUCAUAUAAAAAUAUUUUUUGUUAAAAAAAAUACAAGAGAUGAUUUUGUGGAGAUGACAAAGAAUACAUAAUAGAAAUACUCAAAGCCUUUGGGUCCUUCCCCAAUCUUGGAAUAUCAGUCCUCAUUGAAAAGUCUCUUAUAUCUAUUUCUAACAAAUAAGCUAAUGAUGCCUGAUUUGUUGGAUGAAAUUGGUUGUGAGAUUGUUCCUCAAGCAUCUCCUAAGAGAACUCGAAAAACGUAACUUACGACAUGACACAAUAGGAUGUCACUUGUGGCAUGACAAUCACAACACCUUGACUCUAAGUGUAUAGUACCAAGGCCUCAAGGGAUGACACCAUGGUUCCUUGAGUGGCCUAUGAUUAAGGCAAGGUGAGAUAGAGACUAUUUUUUCUUGUAAGAGGAACCUUCAAAAGGGAGAAUCCAAGUGGAAGUGGAAUUUUCUAGAAUUUCUUGAAUUAACUAAAAUUCAUGAUGCCUUCUUAAGUAUAGGCAAUGUCUCCUUUAGAAACUUCAAAAUGGUUUUAAAUGCUCUUUAUAUGGUAGAAAGAGGGGGGAGGGGGUAGUGACUUAAGGGAAGAUGAGGUGGCAUGGAUAUGGCUACACCUAAUAAGGCUUUCAGUGCAAGACCCUAGACAUAAUCAAGACACAUAAACAAGCCUUGGUAGCAUCCAUAAAUGGGUUCCACGACAUGUGAUGGUGUGCAACUUAUGACUAUAAUGGCAUGAGGCGUCAAGCAGUCUCCCUUCCUGUCGAUGGCACAAGGGCGCAAUGCCUUGUGCAAUGAGAUGGCUUGAUGAGCCAUCGGUGCAACAUCAUGGCCUGCCACAAGACUAAGAUGAACUUGGAUGAGGCAUGAGGAGAUGUAACAACAAUGAAGCUAACUUGAAUGUGAUGUCUAAUGCUUAGAGAAAGGGUGCAAUGCGUUGUGCAUGAAGAUGAGAAAGUCAUGGGUGCAAUGCCAUGACUUAUUGUUGCACUAAGAGAGGGCUUGGACAUGACAUGGUUUCAUAGUAGCAAUAAGAUAGAGCACAUAUGAGCAUGGUUAACGUGCUCCAAGAGCAACAAGUGCCUACAGUUGCAUGUAGCAAGCUGAUGGGGGCAUGUUGUGAGGCAUGCAAGCCUAGAGAGGACUUGGCAUGCACACAGACUGCAUAGAGAGCAUGUAGAAGGUAACUUAGAGAUGCUACAACGGGGAAGGAGUGUAGACAAAGAAAAGGCAUAAGAUGCACAUAAACCACAUAAAGAUGCAUGUGACGGGUUGCCUAGAGAUGCAACAUCAAGUUAAUAAAAUGCAUGGUUAAUUCAAGCACAUGAGUGGACUAAUGCAAGUGACAACACUAAGAGAACAUUCAAAUAGAGGAGGAAUGGACCAAAGACAUUUGAAAUCUCAAAGUUGGAAUCAAAUUGGGAUUGCAAUUUGAGUUUAAGUAGGAGUUCAUAUUCUUAUUGUAAUUGUAGUCUUACUAAGACUAAGACUGCUUGUCCCUAAUCCAAAUAAGAGUGGUUGGUACCACAACCUAUAAAUAAGAGUUUGGGUAGGACUAGGAUUGUUAAUUCCUAGUCAAAAUAAAAGUAGGUCGUGCCACACCUAUAAAAAAGAGGAUAGAAGUGCGAUCUAAAGGCAUCUUGUAGGCAUGAGAUGAGGGAGAGCCUUCUUUAAACAUGGCAUAAGAGUAAGCAUGAACUUACCAAAGAGAAUGUGGGAGCCUUGUUAGCUAUGUCUUGCAUUGUUAUAUAAAGAAGAAAUAAAAUACAAGUUGGGGAUUGAGCCCCAUAAACCUCAUGUUUCUUUGUGGGUUCUCUUUAUUGCCAACUCAUGUGAGAGUUAAGUAGGUUGGCUUAGAGGGCUUCUAAGCACUGCAUUGAUAAGAAAAACUAGUGAGAAAGUUUGUGCGUGUCAAAGCAAGGAGUUACCAUGGCUUAAGAAUGCUAAUGUAUUGGAGGCAACGCAUGAACAAAUUGCAUGCUUGAAGGUGUAUUUUCGGAGAAACUCUUGAUGUAUGCAUGACUUUAUUUAUAAGAGUGACUGAAGGUUGCAAAUAACUUGGUGUUUAAUAGGUUAUGCUUGAGAGCUGAAAUAAGUUGUCGGAGGAUCGAGUUGCUUCUUUCACAACUAUCAUAGAGGAGUUUAGUGGCAAGAUCGAGUCCUUUAAGGGGUAGAUCACAAUAUUGAGAAAGGUUGUUAUUUGGGGAACUUCAACCAUUUCAAAACCAACCCCAACAAAGGUACGAGUGCCUAAGCCAAAGCCCUUUAUCAGAGUGUGAAACGCAAAGGAUUUAGAGAAUUUUAUGAGACAUGCAUGAAGCAAUAUUUUAGUGUUGUAUUCCUCUAGAUGAGCAAGUAACCCUAUCCACCAUGUAUUUUUCAAGAGAUGCAAAACAAUGGUAGCACAAGAGAACCAACAAUGAUGUUGAGUCAUGGAGACCAAGAAUUAAUAUGUGGAAGACCCUAAAAAAGGAGUUGAAAGAUCAUUUCCUCAUUUUUAAUAUUGUGUGGGUGGCAUGGGAGUCUUUAAAAGGUUAAAAUAGACUGGAUCUAUUAGAAAUUAUGUCAAGGAGUUCAGUUUAUCGAUAUUUGACAUCAAAGACAUGUCAAAAGUUGACAAGUUGUUCAGCUACAUGUUCGAGUUGCAAGGUUAAGCCUAAACUGAGUUAAGGUUGUCUAAGGGGUGUAGGAUCUACUUGUAACCAUGAAAACAAUGGUUACAAGUAUGAAAGAAGAGCUAAAAGGAAGAUAAGCAAUUAACCCGAGAAAAGUUGAAAAACCUUAUUAUGGUUGUUUUAGUAUUAUUGAUAAGUUCUCAAUUACACCUCUGAACUUAAAUUUAAUUAAGUUUUAUUUAUUAUCUUGUUUUUACAUAUAUAUAUAUAUAUAAUCAGAGCUAAAUUCUAUAAACAAUAAUAUGUAUUUAUAUUUACAUUUUUUAUUAUGGUUUCUUAUAUCCAUAAUCUAGAUAGAUUAUAUAUUUAUAAAAUGAUUUAUAUUUUUAUAUGAAAAUUAUGCUGUAGGAAAGAAAAAGUUGUACAAUUAAUUCAACGAAACAAAAGGAAUUCUGAAACACGGUACGAGGGGGCUUUUUAUCAUCACCAACAAGAAUUGAAUUGAAUAAAAGAGCUAAAUUUGCUUGAUUGGGAAGUAGAAAGGAAAGCAGCGUGAUAUUUGGUAAAGCAGAACGCUGGUGUCGGGCCACAACCACAAGGCAAGCCGCGUGGACGUACUUGGUCAAAAAGGUCAAAAAUAAAGUCUACUUCACAAGACUGCAACCACCGGGCAAGCCGCGUGAACGUACUUGGCACUCACCCACCAUGCUUCUCUCCUUUUGCUUUGCUCCUUCCAGGCACUUGUCUAUAUCUACAAUCCUCAGUUCAUACCCUUUAAAAUUUAAUCCAAUGGCCAGAGCUAAAAGUACUUGAAUCCAAUGGUCAGGAAUAACCCCAUCUUAAUCCCAUGGCAAGAAAAAAUCCUGUUUAAAUUCCAGGGCCAAGUUUCCUCCCUUCUAAUUCAAAGGCUAGAUUUCAUCCCUUUUGAUUAAAAGGUCAUAUUUAAUCCCUUUUUAAUUAGUCCAAGGAAUAUAAAGAAAUAUAAAAUCUCACUUUACUACUGCAAAUUAAGAAAAAACCUCUACACUAUUAGCUAUGAAAAAUAAAGUCAAAAGGGAGGUAAACAAAUAACCCAAAAAAGGUUGAAAAACUUUAUUAUGAUGGUUUUAGUAUUGUUGAUAAGUCUCAAUUACACCUGACCUUAAACAUAAUUAAGUUUUAUUUAUAAAAUUUUUAGUUAAAGUUGAGUUCUCAAUUAGAAUAUUCACAUGGAUUUAAUUAUGUUCAAAUUUCACCAUGAAGAACAAACUUAAUUGAGGUUAAGUUCUCAUGUAAAAUAUUCACUUAAAAUUAACUGUAAUUGAGUUAUAAUUUAUGAAGGACUUAAUGGUGGUUAAGUUCUCAAUCAAAAUAUUAACUUGAAUUUAAACUAUGGUUGGUUAAGUUUCAUUUUAUAAAUAAUAAUUCAACUGCUAUUGAGGGCAUUUUAAAUAUAGAUAAUUGCAAUAAAACCUAUGAAUAAACGUGUUAUAUUUGUCAUUCCAAAUAAUAAGUUCAUCCAAGUAUUUAAUUGUUAGUGAUUCUAUAAGAUUAAGUCUAUCACAUUACUAUAAAUUUAUAUAAUUGUUCAUCCAAUAUAUUCACAAUAAUAAUCCACGUUGGACUUGCAUUGUUGGAUUGAAUUAACCAUGGACCUAAUCCCUAAAGUGUGUAUAUAUUUUAAAAAAAUAAUAAUUUAUAUGUGUAUUAUAAUUUGUUUUAUUAUUUUUUAAUAUUUCAUCCAAAAUUUCUAUAUUUUAAAAAGUUGAUAAGAUGAUUGUCUCAAAAACAUUUUUUGAAAAACUACUUUUACUAAAAGCAUUUUAAAUAAAAACACUUAUCAAAUGCACUUUAAAAAUUUGUUUGACAGUACUUUUAGGAAAUAUUUAUAGUAUAAAAAUGUUUUCAAAAUAAAGAAUAAUGUGUUCAACAAAAUUUAGAAAGUAUUUUUAAAUAAUUGAAAAAUCAUUUACAGUAUUCCUAGAAAAAAAAAACAUUUGACAGGCAAUCAUCAUAAAAAUACUUUCAUUAAAAGUAUUUCAAAUAAAAAUAAUAUCCAAUGCAUCCCAGAUAAAUUUUUGACUCUUCGAAAAAAUAUAUCCAUAUAUAUUAGAACAAACAUACAAUUAUGUUGCAUAUCAGCACAUGAUGUAUCUUAGAAAAAAUGGUAUUUUUACGCAAUGAUGGGGAAUAAAGGAAUAAGAAGUUUGUAUUUUCCUAAAAGAUGCAUGUGGGAUUAGUUAAAAGAUGCCUUUGUGAAGUUUGCCUUACUUUUGACGCCCGUCUGCUCACCUACCAAGCAACCUCCUCUCUUGUUUAAAAAUUUUCAAGCAUUUGUUAGAAGAUUCUUAAAAUUAUCUUUUUCUUCUUCUUUUUUUUUUUUUUUCUUAUUUAUUUAUUUAUUUAUUUAUUUUUAAUAAUAUCAAAUGAGGCCCAUGAAUGGAACCUACCAAAAGCCUUGUGCAUGGCCGACGUAUUUGAUAUUUUAGGAUUUCUUUUUAAUAGACAAGCAUUUUCUCACACAUCAAGUUUUGAAACUCACUUUUUCCUUUUAUUUGGUUUUGAAAAUGAGAUCAAAUAUACAAAUAUUUAAUUAAGGUUUAUAAAUGAAACAAAACCUUAAUCUCAUUUAAGUUCUUUUUAAAUGAAACUUAAUCAUAUUACAACUCAAGUCAUUAUAAUCAAGCUUUCUACAAAUGAAAAGCAAACUUAACACCGGUUAACUUUUUUCUAAUAAAACUUAAUUAUAGUGUAGUUCAAAAUAUCAUUUGAUUGAAAGCUUAACUGUAUUUAGGUUUUUUUUUCUUUUAUAAAUUGAACUUAACUCCCAUGCAAUUAAGUUGAACACCCUUCAUGAGAAAUUAAUAAUAAAAAAGUGAAAUGUAAAGAUAAAUAUAUUAUAAAGAGAUGGUGAAAUGAAUAUAAUGAAAAAAAAAAUGAGAACGUGAUUUUUUUUUUUUAGGCAAUAUAGUUUAGAUGAACAUGAAUAAAUGGUGGAUAGAGCAUUAUGAGAUGAUAACUAACCAAAGUGUCUUGUAAAAACUAAAGUAAAUUAAAAAUAUGAUGGAUGAUCAUGAAAUGAGAAAGAAGGAAAGUUUGAAGUCACGGUACUUAAAAAUUAAGCCAUGUAGUGAGAGAGAUUAUGUUGGAAUCAAUGUUAGAGUGAGAAAGUAAAAAAAAAUUGUUUGAAAGAUAAAUGAGUAGGAAAAAAACUAAAAUGAACAAAAUAAAUGGGAACACCAUGCUUUUGGAGGAAAACAAAUUAAAAUGGUAAAAAAAUAAAAAAUAUAUCAUCUUUUAGCAAAAUUAAGGAAGGAUGUCAUUCUUGCCAUUUGAUUAUUAUUUUAGCCUAUCAAACCAGAUAACCUUAAAAUAAAAUUCUAGAAAAACCAAUCAAUCCAUCAAUUUCAUCAACCAUGGUGUCCGGUUGGCGACCCAACCUACCAAUAAAUUCUUAAUGGCUCAACCACCUCACUAUAAAUAAAUUAUACAAAAUAUUAUGAAAUAAAUAAUAAACAUUAAUUUCUACAAAAUGUUAAUGCAAAGUACUCUCAGCUUAUUACAAUUAAUGUUUUAAUAUCCCUCAUUUAAAAAUAAAUUUUUUUUUUAGCAUGUUGAGAUAAAAUAAGUGGGUCAACAAAGACCCUUCUUCUUCGAUGAUCUUACAGACAUUUAAUUUACUUGUUGCAGAUGCCACUUGCUCAUUGGUAUUUCUGCUUUGAUUUUCUUUCUCUGUUGUAGAAUCGUAGUUUUUAAGUAGGUCAUAAGUAAAUUUGAGCCAUUCCUUUGUUUUUUGAGUUGAUUUCUAUGCCUCACCAUGCAACUUGUUUACUCUUAUUUUAUUUCUAUUUCACAUGCUGUUGGUAUGUGAUUCGUCCCUAGCAGUGGCAGUGGCAAUGGCACCAUUUGAUUCGAGGUUCGAUCCCCGGCAACGGCGCCAUUUGAUUCGUGCCCAAUUGGUGUCUCAGCUGAUUUGUGUUCAGCUGGUGCUCCUUGAUUGAGGGAGUGAUCAACAAAAUUUAUAACCUAUAACACUAUAUACUAGGGUAGCAAAGACAAAGCUACUAUAGCAUAGUGGCUCUAGGAUCGUUCACUGGGAUGGGUUUUCACUUCACAAAUGAUGUUAAUUCAAAGUUGAAUUGGUGCCUUUUCAUUUCAAGAUUAGCUUUAAAAGAAAACAUAAAGAUGUUUGAAUGAAAAAGGUUUAGGUUUAAACUAACCACAAAUAGUAACUGAUUUUACUUACAAAGAAAAGUGUUUCUUGGAGUUUCAGAUCACUAGGCUCAGGUUCCUCAUACAAAAAGGGAGUUCCGGUCACUUGUUUCUUUUCCUCGCAUUAGAGAAUUAACAUAUAGUUCCUUCUCCAACCGGUGUUGUACAGAUGCUUCCCAUUAAUGGGUUCAAACACUAAAUCCCUCUCACUGAUGCACCUUGCAAUGGCUCAUACCUCUCACCUAGCACUUGCCAUUCAAGAUGAUCUUUAACCUUGGACUUCCCUUCAAAAGCUCGCAAGAGAUAACUAAUGGAUGCCUCCUUGGAGUCCAAAAGCUUACCAAGUGUUGGCUAUUCUAGAAAAUCCUACCUUCAAGUCACCUCCCAAAGGCUCGCAAGGGGUAAACUAGUGCAUUUCCAUGGUUGGAAAUCACUUGCCUUACCAAGUGUUGGCCCAGGUGACUCUAAGGUGUUUUAAGUUAACUAAAAACAUAGAAAUCACUAACGGGUCACACUUUCUCUUCAUUAAAAACUAAAACAACAAAACUUCCAAAUUAUGUAUGUGGAAACUUACCCAACUUUCCUUACUCCAGGAGACAAAAAGCUUAGCCUCUCAUCCUCUGUGGAAAAACCCUCAGAGUUUGGUUGGCUAGAAAAUGAAAAUGAAAGAGAAGACAAGAAUAUAUAUGAAAAACAGAGCAAGUGCUCUGUUCUUUGAUUCUAUAUAUGAUAUCUCUAUUACAUACUUCUCCGAGCGUCUCCUGAGAGUGUUUACAAGAGAGUUUAUAUAGGAAGGUAAUUUACCCUUCCUUGGAUACUUCCUAGCUAAGGAAUUACAUGAGUGGUUGAAUACAAGGAGAAAAUGGAAAUUUAGACACAAAAAUCUGAAGAAAAAUAUCUAAAAGAGUCGGUGCAAAAAUAUCGGGAAGCUCUAGGAACAUUUCGCAGGUGAAAAAUGGUGUCUGCGAGAUUUCGCAGACACUCAAGAGGGCUGCGAAAUAUUUUCGCAACAACAAGUUAAACUCGCAGGGCUGCGAAAUUGGCUUCCACCUUGAGGUUCUCAGCGUUCCAGCUUGCAGCAUGUAUCGGGUAGCUUCAGGAGGAAUUCCAUAGCACUGUACAAAAAGGCUGCGAAAUUCUCGCAACAAAAGGCUGAUUUCGCAACACUUUGGAGUGAUCUGCUUGCAAUGGCUGUAACUCCUUCGUUUCAACUCCAAAUCGCGCACCGUUUGAAGAAUUGGAUUCUUGACUUCAUGAGCUUUGAAAUGGUAUAUAGAAUGUAGAAAAUGGACUUCGGGAAGUGCUCCAAAAGUGCGAAAGAAGACUGCAGCUAGCUUUCCUCUGUUUUCUUCACUCUGUUUUUCCUCUCUCCUUGCUUCUCUCCUUGCAUACUUUGAACGACUUUGGCAAAGGGCUAUGGAGCUCCAAAGCUUGGUUCUUCAUGAAUUUGAGCUCUUCAUUGCUUUGCCAUGGAUUCCAAAUAACUCUCCUCAUUCUUGACUUGCUUUGGUGAUCAAAAUACUAACAAAAACACCAAAACUUACACAAAGUGAUCAAAAUUGCUUUAAAGGGUCCUUAACAUGCCAAUUGAGUUAAAAGGCCUAAACUACUACUCAAAAGUGUUUAAAAGGAUUAAUUAUAGGCUAUCAAAUAGCACUUUUUGAGUAGUAAUCAGUAUGCUUAAGAAUGAUUGUAAGUGAGAAUUUGGGAUUAAAAGGGAAAAAAAAAAACUACUGGUCAAGAAAUAGAAAAAAUUCGGGGUUGGUUGUGGUGAUGACUUUGACAAAAAGAUAAAAUUGGAAUAUGUUUAUACUUGAAAGGGAAAUUUGUUAUCAUUAUUAGGCAGUGCUUGUAAUAUUAUUUGAUGGUAUCAAUAUUAUUUAUUAGUAAAAUAACUAACAUGGUGUUUUAAUAUAUUUUUUGUUUUUUAUUUUAAAAACAAAAAAUAGUAUAAAAUUUUGAAAGCAAUUUUAAAUUUUUUAUAUUUUAUACUAUAAAUCUUAUAUUUUUAGGAGAGGGAUAUAACAAUUCUUUUUUAAAAUAAAAAAUAAUAAUAAUUUUUAUAUAAAAUAUAGGAACUUUUAAAAAUGAAUUACCUUUAAUAAUAGGGAAGUCUAUUUUUGUAAGAGGUAAGUUACUAAUAUUUUAUUUUUUAACAAAUAGAAAAUAAUUCGAAUCAUACUUAGAAUUUUAAAAUGUACUAACUAACAACAAAAAUAGAAAACAUGCAAUACAAACUUCUUUUAAAUAACUACGAUGGUCAAUUGGUCCUUUCUACGAGUACCCCCAACCCCUCUUCCCUUUGCACAACCAAGCCUUACUUGACUUUGACUAAAUGGGGAAGCACUUUGUCAAGCUUAUUUUUUUAUCUACGGCAUAGAAGGAUCCUUAGUUGUGUGUAGUGGCUCAAUGAGUUUCUUAAUGAGGUUUUUUCAUCAAGUGAUAUGCUUUUGAUAAAUUAUAUCCACCACUUUUGUAAUAUAAUUAAGAAAACAAAGUUUUAAAAAAUAAAAUAAAAUAAACUAUGCAAGAGAAAUGAGAUGGAACAAAUAUGACAAAUUCUCAAAUUUGUCCUAUUUAACUUUUUUUUUUUUUUUUUUUUUUUUUGGAGGGGGAAUGGGAUGAUAAUCUAUUUGAAUAAUAAAACAUGGUAAAGAUAGAGUUGACUCGUCUUAGACCCACCAAACUACAUCUCUAUCAAGGAGUAAGGAUGAAAAUAUCGGUACUUCGAUUUUACGGAUAUAUCGAAGAUAUAUCAGCGGAUAUUUUGGAAAAAAAUAUUGAUAAACCUAAAAUUGAUCAAAAUUUAUAAACAUAUAAGAAAAACUUCAUAAAAAUAUAAUUAGAAAUAUAAUGAUAUUUUAAAGUUGUUUUAUUAAAUAAUUUGAUAUAUUUAUAAAAUGAUUUAGCAUAUUUGAUAAUAAUAUCGUAUGCAUCGAUAAAAAUAUGAAUUUUAUAAGUGUAUAUUUAUUAUUAAAUUAUAUAUAAUAUUAUGAUAUUUGAUUAUAAUAUGUCUAAUUUUAAAAUAUAUAGUAAUGUUCACAUUAUGAUCCAUUUAAUUCAAUUGUAUUAAAUAAUAUAAAAUAAAUUAUGAUAUAUGUAUAAUUUUUUAAUAUUUAAUUAAUUAUUAAUGAUAUUAAAAACACGAAGAAAAUUAUAAAUCCAAGCCAUGCCUCACUUCCACUAAAUGAGAGAUUGGAGUGGACUCGGUGAAGACUUGUACUUCUGCAUAAAGUAAAUAAAGGGGUCCACUUCUUGUGCAAAUUGGUCCUGGAAGCGUGUUAAAGGAUAAAUGAAAGAAAAUGCAACUAUGUGAAUGAUAGAAGACGUAAAGAUAGUCAUGAGAUGUGUGAAAAUGAGAAAACAACAGCGAGAAAAGCCCAUAAGUGGAUUCCAUCCCUUUCCUUGCUCCUUUUUCUUAUGUAUGUCUAGGCUCAUGGAUUUCCAUUCAAAUGGGUUUUGUUAAUUUGUUGUCAUAUUUCCAUAUUUCUAUAUAGUCAACAAACGCGACAUGUUUAAUAAGCAAAUUCUCUUAUAAAUCCUUUAUUUUUAUUUUUUAAGUUUUCAACUUUUCAAAAACCUAUCAUGAAAGAGAAAAUCGCAUUAACAAAUGACAGCUACCAUUCGGUUUCACUGAUGAUGACUGAGGAAUAUACUGAAAAGCUUUGUUGAGUAUUAUGGGGAGAUGGGUGGAAGUUCCUCCACAAAAAUCAUGGGAAAGUUCAUGGAAAUUCAAAAGCUAGCAUCCAAAGACUCAUUCUCUCCAACUUUUUUCCCUCUAUAAUCCACUGAAUGUAAAAAGGGAUGGGAGAGAAGAAUCAUAGCUAUUUCCUAUUUUCUUGACUUGACUUGGAAUGCUGUCAUUUCUAGUCAGAAAUUUCAGGCUUCCUUCCUUACUAUUUGCACGCCUGACAACGUGAUUAAAGUUGUUUAGGAAGAUAGUUGGAAGCCACUUACCUCCCCAAGUUGUAAAGGAAAUCAAUUGAGUACAGUAAUACUACUAUUGCAAAUUUAUAAAGAUUUUGUAUUUUUCUCUACCCAUCAAUAAAUCAAGCUUUCAAUGCCAAAUUUUUUAAUUUUACUUAUUAUGUUAACCUAAUAAAAUUUCAUUUUCUAUUGUUGAAAUUUAUCUUUAUUCUUUUUAUCUAAGAGAAAAAAGAAAUGAUACUUUAGCUAUUAUCAUAUGAAUUCCUAGGAAAUAAAAGAAAAAAACAAGUAAAUUGAAGUGCCAAAAAAAAAAAAAAGGUAAAAUAUAAAGAAAGGAGUCAGAAAAAGCAUGGAGAGUGCAAUUAAUAAUUGAGGUAGGACUUUGACUCUCGUGAACCCCCCACUGUUACUCAAUGCUAAAGGAUUGCAGCCAAUCAAAGAUGAGAGAGAAGAACUAGACAUCCUCAUCACCAUCGUCCCAACAUUCAAAAGACCCCUUUUUUGUCUUCUUCCAAAUUCUGUUCUUGUAAUUUUGUUACAAUCCAACCAUGGCUUCCACUAGCAAUCCCAAGAGACCCUCUUCUUCUUCUUCUUCUAAUUCUAAAUGGAGGUACGAUGUGUUCUUGAGUUUCAGAGGCGAGGAUGCCCGCAACAACUUUACUAGUCAUCUCUAAAGAGAAUAACAUAAGUUGUAGAUCAUAACUAUUACUAUAUUUAUUUUUAUUUUAACCCAAUUUUUGAAUUUUUGAAUUUUUUUCUUUCCUACAGGAUAAUUUACAAGUCAAACUUUUUAAUAAGCAAAUAUAAACUAAUGGGGUUUUAGAUAACUUUUUUUUUUUUAGACAAGAAGUCUAAGGGGUUUGGUUAAUCCAAUGUUUAUAUAUAUAUAUAUAUAUAUAUGCUUUGGAUUUUAUGAAAACAUCAAUGCAAGUCUUAAUAUUGGUAAAAUUUUUAUACCAAUUGAAGAAAAAAAGGGGGAAAUGAUAUAUAAAAAAAAAAAAUCCUUUGAAUAAUUUAUAUGAAACGUUUAUUAAAAAAAAGUCUAUGUAUAGUAAAAUUGUUGGAUUGAUUGACAAUCUAAUGAAUAAAUAAUCUAAUGUGCAAUGUACUAUUAAUGUUCUAUAUAUAUAUAACAUAUAUGGUCAUUAUGCACAAGGGAUGAAAAUCUAGCCGUUGGAUUAAAAAGGGUUGAUUUCAAUGUCACAUGGAAAGUAAAAGCAAGGCAACUGAGUGGAGGCAAUAGUUUUAUUUUGACCUUCAACGUGCUUUCCUCUCUUAACCCCAUGUUGAUGGGAACAUUUUCUUUACUUGUUGCAGAAGCAACUUAUUCCCCUCGUAUGCUGCAAGUUUUGUAGUCAUCUUCACCAAACACUUGUCACCGUUUUUAGUUAUUACUAAUGGUCAUUCUCUUGUGUUCAAAUUCCUCACAGUAGCAUUCUUCAAUUACAGCUCUUUUUCCAUUUCUGCUUCACAAUUAAGAACAUUUAGCUUCAUUAUUCACUUAUUGUUAGCUGUACAAAGCUACAGCUAUCAUUUUGCUUCAGAAUUUCUUUUGAUUUGUUCAUGGAGUUUUUGGAAUUAUAUAAAUCAAUUAUGAGACUACAUAUUAAUAUAAAUUAAUAUUAAAUGGAACGUAUUGCUAUUCUCCUCACAUCCCAUAGUUGAGUGAAAUUUUAGUCCUCUUACAUUUUUUUUGAAUGUAGAAGGCUGAAAACUCCAUUAUUGCACUCCAAUAGAUAUAGGUAUGCUUUCUUAUUAAUUUUCUUAAUGAUUUAGCAUGAGAUUCUUGGACAGUGAAUAAAGGUUUUAUCAUUUAUCAAUUUUCUAAUAAUUAGUGUGCGAUGAAGUUCUUGGGCGUGUCUUCUCUAAAGCUGAGGAAGACAUCAUGCUUGGGCUGAGAAGAAGAAAAAGUUGCAGCAUCCAUUAUGGAGAAGUAGAGACAUGAAGAGAUUUGAGUUACCACUCCAAAUUACCUGUAGAGAAAAGUGCUUCUAUUGAUUAAUAUAAUUCUGAAAAGGAGAAUAAGAAGCAGAAGAUUGAACCUGCGGAUCUAAGAAUUACAGAUGUUGGUGAGAAAUCCAAGCCAUGCCUCACUUCCACUAAAUGAGAGAUUUGAGUGGACUUGCUAAAGACUUGUACUACUGCAUAAAGUAAAUAAAGGGGUCCACUUCUUCUGCAAAUUGGUCCUGGAAGCGUAUUAGAGGAUUAAUGAAAGAAAAUGUGAUAGAAGAAGCAAGACAAGACACUGUAAAGAUAGUCAUGUGAUGUGUGAAAAGGAGAAAAAUAAUGAGAUGCGCAGAGCAUACUGCAACGGGCCGCUCCAAUAAUGAGAUGCGGCCAAAGUAAUGCUCGGAAUGCAGGCAUUAUUAGGACAACCCACUUCCAUCAACUGUCGAACCAAAAUAUACAAUUGAGUCAUUUUCAAGCCCAUUUAUAUUUAUGCAGUCCGAUCAUAACUGAUGCACAUUUGAGUGUUGUUUGGAUUAAGUUUCCUUGUUUUUAAAAAAUGUUUUUUAUUUUUUAAAAAACACAAAGUAGCAGUAACUCAACUCUUAUAGAAAAUGCAUGAAUAAAUAAUCUUCAUAUAUUCUUAAAACCUACCAUGAAACUAAGACAAAAGAUUCUGUUUUUAAAAAUUAGAAAUAAUUAUAGCACUAUUGGACUGUUAGUUCUCUAUAAACUGUUUUAAAAAACAAAGUGAAUAAAGACCAAUUUUUAUUUUUUUUAUUUUUUAUCACUUUUAAAAAUAUAUACACUAUGAGAAAAUGAGGAGAUAGUCACACAACUUUAGUCAGGGUUAGCAAAACUCAUGACCAAAGGGUGUGUACAGUUGUGUUUAGAGGGGUUAGCAAAAAUCAUGACUCAAGGGUUUGUAUAGUUAGUUGUGUUUAAGAGAGGUCCGCCUCUACUAGUCAUGAUCGUACCAAAUUCAAGUGGGUAAAUUUCCUGGAGUACGGGGCUGUAGUACAACCAUAGAAUGGUUGUGGACAUGGUAUUUCAUGGGCAGUGGAAAUAGGCCCAAUAUGCCAACAGUGGGCCAAACGGUAGAGACUGGGUCUGCAUAUAAACCCAAUUCUUUGCGGCCCUAUCUCUUUCAUAUCCUUUUUUUUUUUUUUUUUUUUUUUUGCAAAUAUGCUCUCUGUGAACUAAUUUCAGCAGCCCUAGAUUACAAACUCCACAGAUUUCGUAUCCAAUUUAGGGCAAAACUGCAGUUUGGAGGUUUUGGUUUAGUUUUAAUUUUUUUAGUUCUUUCUGGUUUGUUUAUCAUUUUUAUUGUAUGAUUAAGAAAAUUAAGGCUAAAUUUUUGUAGUUUGUUUGGUGGAGAAAAGGCUCGAUAUAUACUUAAAUAUCAUGAAAGUUAAUUUUCUUUAUUUUCUUGACAACCAAAUAGACAUAAUGCUAGUAGAAUUAGAUAAAUUCUCAAUUUGAAGAAAUUCAUUAGAAAAUUGUUGACAAACUAAAAAAAUAUUUGCACAAAAACAUGUCUUUUUCUUGGUGGAACCAUCACUAAUUUUGUUGUUAUCUUUGCCUUUUUCUUCAUCUUUAAUUGUGAAUAUAUAUAUAUAUAUAUAUAUAUAUAUAUAUAUAUAUAUAUAUAUAUAUAUAUAUAUGCAUGUCUUGAUUAAAUUUUCUUUAUUUUCCCCUAUAACUGUGCAUGUUAGUAGAUCUGUGUAAGAGAAGAUACUGAAAAUCACCACUUCAACACCUACACAUCAACGCCCAAUAACGCAAUAUUUGUGCUAUUGCUAAGCCUAAAUUUCCUUUACUUUUUGUUUCUCAUUUCUCCCAUACAAAACCUUUUGUGGUUGUCGUGGGACUAUAAAUACCAUCAUGUAUUCUCUUGGCCAUAUAAAUGGAAUUUGCUAUGGUUUGCCAUCUCUAUGUUGAGCCAUAUUCAAACCUGAAAUUCUUUUUGUUCUAUUUUUUAUUUUCUGUCUUCCUAUUAGAGCCAUUGGGCAUCAUCAAUAUAAAUUAAAGCUGACUCAGCAUACUUGCCUCCCUUUCCAUCUAUGACAAUAGUAGGCUCAACUCCAUUAGCACUCAAUAUUGAUCUACCUUAAUCCUUCAUUACUAACAACUCUUUGCUUGGCAAUAUCAUGAGCUUUAGAUCUCCAAUAAAACUAGAUUGGAACAAUUUUCUUUUAUGAAAAUCCAUCAUCAUUACGACUAUGAAAGGACAUGACUUAGAUGGUUAUCUAUUUGAGACACAAACCCAUCCCAGAAAAGCUGCUACAACAGGUUGGUGAGGCAUGAUUGAAGGAGUGCAAACAAAGAAAGGGCUUGAGAUGUGCAUGAGCCGCACAAAAGUGCAUGUGACAGGUUACCUAGAGAUGCAAUGUCAAGUUAAUUGAAUGCAUGGCUGAUUCAAACACAUGAGUGGACUAAUGCAAGCGACAAUACUAAGAGGAAUUUCAAAUAGAGGAGGAAUGGACCAAAGACACUUGAAAUCUCAAAGUUGGAAUCAAAUUAGGAUUGCAGUUUGAGUUCAAGUAGGAGUUCAUAUGCUUAUUGUAAUUGCAGUCUUACCAAGACUAUGAUUGCUUGUCCCUAAUCCAAAUAAGAAUUAUUGGUACCACAACCGAUGAAUAAGAGUCUGGGUAGGACUAGGAUUGUUAAUUCCUAGUCAAAAUAAGAAUAGGUGGUGCCACACUUAUAAAAAGAGGAUAGGAGUGCCAUCUAAAGACAUCUUGUAGGCAUGAGAUGAGAGAGAGCCUUCAUGAGACUAAGCAUGAUCUCAUCAAAGAGAAUGUGGGAGUCUUGUUAUCUUGCAUUGUUAUUUAAAGAAGAAAUAAUAUACAAGUUGGGGAUUGAGCCCCAUAAAUCUCAUGUUUCUCUGGGUUGAUCAUCUUCAGUUGACAUGCCAAUGCCUUGAUAUUGUUUUAAAACAAACUUCUUGGGAUUUCCCUUAUGUGGUGUUGCUUUUGCGGUGGGAGCCCUAGAAAUAUGUGUUGUGAAUUGAAGUCAAAUGAGCUCCAUUCCUGUAAUGCAAAUUAAUGAGGGGGAUUAUUCUAGUGGGCUCUAGUGAAGGAGCAGAAAAGCAGAAGCAGAUGAGAGAAAAGCUCUUGUAACAGAACCUAAUCUUCCAGCAUCCAACUGUUUUUUGAUUGUUUUUCUUCAUUCCUAGAAAUGGGAGGACUAGGCAACUAAAGGAUUCACACUUGUCAGAAUAUAUAAUUAUUGUAAAUAAUAUUUUACUCCUGUAUGUAAUUUUUCUUGUAUAGGGUGAUAAUCCCUUUGAUGAUGACACAUGUAUAGGAUUCACACUACUUUUUUUUUUUUUUUAAGUUGAAUAAAAGUUUAUAUGUGUGUUUGACUAAUUUUAUUUAAGGCGUUUAUAUAUAUUAAUAAUAGUUAGAAAAUAUUACUUAUCAUAUAAAUUUUAUUUGAACUUAUUCAAUAAAUUCUUUCAUGUAUUAAUAUUAUUUUUAAAAAAAAAUCAUGAUUUUGGUUUAGUGUUUUUUGAGAAGGUGUUUCAAACUCCUAUUUAGAUUAUAUAUAUUUUUUAAAAGAAAUAUUAUAUAAAAUAUUUCAUAACUUUAUGUGUGAUUAUAAUUAAAUUUAUUAGAAAAUUAAUGAAAAUAUCUCUAUAAAUAUUUUAGGUCAUGGAAAGAAAAAGUUAUGAGAGAGAUAAGAUAGAGAUGUGAGGAAGUGCGAGAGACAUAUGAUGGAAUAAAAUAGUUCAUUAGGGUGGAGAUGUAAGAAAGAGUGAAAAAUAAAACCAAAGUUUAUAUUGACACUUUCACUGGUACAACAAGUGAUAUCAAAGUUUCAUAUUUGAAAGUUUUUAAUUUUAAAAUAAAACCAACUUCUUAGUUACAAGGUAAAACAAAAUGUCCUAGGAGGCUCUACGAGUUUAACAUGAAUAAAAUUAAAAAUAAAAUAAAAAAAUCUCUUCUUUAUGCUUUUUCUUUGCCACUUUACCUUUUUGGGCCCUUUCGGUGUAAGCCCACAACUUGGAAGGUCGCAUCUCCAUAUGUUGUGGGUCAAUAUGUUUGUAAGGAGAAUAAUUUCAAAGUUUAUUUACGGAUAGUAAAAUCAUUUUCUAUAAAAUAAAAUCAUUUUAUUUUAUUUUUUAGAAAACUUAAGUAGAUUUUUUGCGGUUAAAAAAAAUAUUUCUACCCUUCAUAGUUGGAUUGGAUAUUCAGUUGAAAAAUAUAUGAAGUUUUAAAUAAUUUUUAUUGAAUUAUAAUUGGUUUGUCAUUCUUUUUUUAAUUAUUUUUUAGAAAAACAUUCAAACAUGGGCGUUGGAGUACAAAAAUAAAUAAAUAAAUAAAUAAAAGAAAAAAAAAGACAGUGCUGCAAGUUGAAUGUCAUCUAACUUCGGUUGCAUCUGAACACCCUCUCCUAAGUUGAAGAAAAACUGCAAGACAAAGCAUGUCGGUGGUAGUCUUUUAUGGCAUAUGCUUUGUUUGUUCAUACCUGGAUUGGAAAAUAAUUGUGACCAAACGUGUACGGUGCCUCAAAAUAAAAAAUAACAAAAAAGGAAAGAAAAGAAAGGAACAAUUCGAUACCUUUCCUAUGAAGCUGAUAAUGUGAACAAGACUUUCUGCUUUUUUUUUUUGCCUGUUUUGCUUUAUCUUUUCUCUUUUGUCGUUUAACACGCUUUCCUCACCACUUCCUUUAGCAGAGGGAGUAUAUAUUUUCUUGCUUGUGGGGAGACUUGGCCUGAAAUAUUUCAAGUUUUGCGGGGAGACUUGGCUUCAGUUACAUUCACUUGCCACGGCGUUUAGUUAUUAUCAUUGAUCAUUCUCUUUUUCAGAUUUCGCAGGUGUAUUCUUCAAUUAUAGCUAUUUUCAGAUUUGUAGUUCUCUUUGAUAAUACAAAGAGCUAACAUUUUGUCUCUGAAUUUCUUUGGUUUUGUUCAUUAAGUUUUUGAAUUAUAUGAAUCAAUUGUGAAACUUUCCCUUUCCUACAGGAUAAUUCAGACUUGACAACUCAUAUCCCAAGCUUCAUCUCUCUACUGCUCGGUAAUGGCUUCUGCUGCUGCUUCUUCUUCUUCUUCUCAAACGCGCUAUGAUGUGUUCCUCAGCUUCAGAGGAGAAGACACCCGCAAUAACUUCACUGCCCAUCUCUAUCACGCCUUGUGCCAGAAAGGAAUCAACACUUUCAUCGAUGAUGACAAGCUUGAGAGAGGCCAAGUCAUAUCUCCUGCCCUUGUUGCAGCUAUCGAAAACUCCAUGUUUUCAAUAGUUGUUUUGUCGAAAAAUUAUGCAUUCUCUAGAUGGUGUUUACAGGAAUUGGUGAAGAUAGUAGAGUGCAUGAAAAGCAGGAGACAGAGGGUUGUCCCAAUUUUCUACAAUGUCGAUCCCUCGGAUGUGAGAAGACAGAGGGGCAUAUUUGGAGAAGCAUUGGCUAAACAUGAAGAGAACUCGGAGAACAUGGAGAGGGUGCAGAGUUGGAAGGAUGCUCUCACUCAAGUUGCAAAUUUAUCCGGUUGGGAUUCAAGAAAUAAGUAAUUUUCUAAAGCCUUUUUCACUCUUAUUUUUAUUCUUUGAUUUUUAACAUUGUCAAUUUAAAUGCUCUUGCUAAUUCACCUAUUACUUUUUACAACAUAGUGGGUAUAAGAAUAUUGCAUAUAUUAAAUGAUUGAAGGACUAGGUACAUAGAAUUUAGAACUUUUUUAGUACACUUCUUUAAGGGUAGAUUUGAGAUUGACUACGUCUUCACACAUCUCUUAUUUCCUUUAUUUUUAUUAUUUUUUUAUGGAUAACUAGACUCAUUAUAUGUUUAUUCUUCAAAUAUGGCAGGAAUGAGCCUCUACUAAUCAAGGAAAUCGUUACAGAUAUUUUGAAUAAAUUGUUAAGUACAUCUAUUAGUGAUACUGAAAAUCUGGUUGGAAUAGAUGCUCGCAUGCAAGAAAUAGAGAUGCGAUUAUGUUUGGGGUCUGAUGAUUUUCUGAUGGUAGGAAUUUGGGGCAUGGGCGGAAUAGGGAAAACAACCCUUGCUAGAGCUAUUUAUAGAAAAAUCACUUGUCAAUUUGAAGCAUGUUGUUUUUUUGAAAAUGUUGGGGAGGAUUUGGCAAAGGAGGGUUUAAUAGGAUUGCAACAAAAGUUUCUUGCUCAACUAUUGGAGGAACCAAAUCUAAAUAUGAAGGCACUCACAUCUAUAAAGGGAAGGCUCCACUCAAAGAAGGUCCUUAUUGUUCUUGAUAAUGUGAAUGAUCCAAUAAUAUUGAAAUGCUUGGUUGGAAACUAUGAUUGGUUUGGUCGAGGAAGUAGAAUUAUUAUAACCACUAGGGAUAAGCGUUUGUUAAUUUCACAUGGAGUACUCAAUUAUUAUGAGGCUCAGAGAUUUAAUUAUGACGAAGCUUCUGAGUUCCUUACACCCUAUUCAUUAAAACAUAAAAUUCCUUGUGAUGAUUUCAUGGAGGUUUCAAAAGAAGUAAUUGGUUAUGCUCAAGGCCUCCCAUUGGCUCUAGAAGUUUUAGGUUCCUUUUUAUUUAGCAUGACCAAAGAAGAAUGGAGAAAUCAAUUAGACAAACUGAAAAGUACUCCUAAUAUGAAAAUUCAAGAAGUACUUAAAGUAAGUUAUGAUGGGCUAGAUGAUAAGGAGAAGAAUAUACUACUAGACAUUGCAUGUUUCUUUAAAGGAGAGGAUAAAGAUUAUGUAAUGGAAAUACUAGAUGGUUGCGGCUUUUUCUCACUUAGUGGAAUACGAGCUCUCAUUGAUAAGUCACUCGUAACUAUUUCUUGGAGUAAUGAGAUAAUGAUGCAUGACUUAAUACAAGAAAUGGGUAGGGAAAUUGUUCGUCAGCAAUCCCUUGAAGAGCCUGGUAAACGUAGCAGAUUAUGGUUUCAUGAAGAUAUCAAUGGCGUAUUGAAAAAAAAUACGGUAAGAGCAAAAAAAAUAUAUGAAAUUUAUUUUAUGUAGCACAAAUUAAGAUAAGAAAUCAAGAAUUGUUUUACUUUAAAUAUUUAUAUGUUGAUAAACUUUAGUAAGAUUUUAUGCAUUAUGCAUGCUUUUCACUUACUCUAUUUCUUGGCCUGUAGGCAACUGAAAAAAUUGAAGGCAUAUUCCUCAACUUGUCUCAUUUAGAAGAGAUGUUAUACUUUACCACUCAAGCCCUUGCAGGGAUGAAUAGACUUAGAUUGCUCAAAGUCUAUAACUCUAAAAAUAUUUCAAGAAACUUCAAAGAUACCUCCAAUAUGGAGAAUUGCAAAGUGAACUUUUCCAAGGACUUUAAAUUUUGUUACCAUGAUUUGAGGUGCCUAUAUUUUUAUGGAUACUCUUUGAAAUCAUUGCCCAAUGACUUCAAUCCAAAGAAUCUUGUUGAGCUCAGCAUGCCUUAUAGUCGCAUUAAACAACUUUGGAAAGGAAUCAAGGUAAGAUCAUGAUCUAUUCAUGUUAUUUUCUUUAGAGUAUGCAAUGUUUACAAAAGCUAAAUUUAAAGUCAAGUUUCUUUUCAUUGCAGGUUCUUGCAAAUUUGAAAUUCAUGGAUCUCAGUCACUCUAAGUACUUAAUAGAAACUCCAAAUUUUCGGGGAGUCACCAACCUCAAACGGUUAGUUUUGGAAGGAUGUGUGUCUUUACGUAAGGUGCACUCAUCACUUGGAGAUUUGAAGAAUCUCAUUUUCUUGAAUUUGAAAAACUGCCAAAUGCUAAAGAGCCUUCCAAGUAGCACUUGUGAUUUGAAGUCUCUUGAAACGUUUAUUCUUUCUGGUUGCUCCAAAUUUAAAGAAUUUCCUGAGAACUUUGGGAGCUUAGAAAUGUUGAAGGAACUUUAUGCAGAUGAAAUUGCUAUAGGAGUACUUCCCUCCUCUUUUUCUUUCUUAAGAAACCUUCAAAUAUUAUCCUUUAAGGGAUGUAAAGGACCAUCAUCUACGCUAUGGUUGUUGCCAAGAAGAAGUUCAAAUUCCAUUGGUUCCAUAUUGCAACCUUUGUCAGGUUUACGCUCUUUAAUAAGACUAAACCUCAGUAACUGCAAUUUAUCGGAUGAACCAAACCUUAGCAGUCUUGGCUUCUUAUCAUCGUUGGAAGAGUUAUAUUUAGGUGGGAACGACUUUGUUACUUUGCCUUCAACCAUCAGUCAACUUUCUAACCUAACGUUGUUGGGGUUGGAAAAUUGUAAAAGACUACAAGUACUUCCAGAGCUUCCAUCAAGCAUAUAUUAUAUAUGUGCAGAAAAUUGCACAUCAUUAAAAGAUGUCUCAUAUCAAGUACUUAAGUCACUACUUCCAACUGGCCAACACCAAAAGCGCAAGUUCAUGGUGAGUUCUCUCUAUAUCCUAUAUAUCGUUGCUUUAACUAUUAAAAAGAAAAGGCCUUGUAAUAAGUUGUGUGUUUUAUUUUUGUAAUUCCUGAGAUCUUGUUAAAGUAUGCAUGAGAGAUAUGGAGACAGUUUGUUAUGUUUCCUUUUUUUUUUUUUUUCCUUAUAAAAAGAAAUUAAAAUUUAAGUUGAAAAAAGAAAAGUGUAUUCAAAUAAUACAUAAUUUAGUAAUAGAUGUUGCAUGAAGGAAACCAAACCAACAAUUUCUAUCGAUCAACAUCCUAAUCAUUUUCAUUCUACAGGUUCCCGUUGUGAAACCGGAUACAGCCUUAGCGGUUUUGGAAGCAUCUAAUCCUGGGAUUAGAAUACCACAUAGGGCAAGUUAUCAGAGGAUCGAUCCCGUUGUGAAACUGGGUAUAGCCACAGUGGCUUUAAAAGCAUUUAUUCCUGGGAGUAGAAUACCAGAUUGGAUAAGGUAUCAGAGCUCAGGGAGUGAAGUAAAAGCAGAGCUACCUCCAAAUUGGUUUAAUUCCAACUUCCUGGGUUUUGCUUUUAGUUUUGUCACUUGUGGCCAUUUCUCUUGCCUCUUCAUGUUGAAAGCGGAUGUCUUGUUUGAUUGGACAUCCAGGGACGAUUCUUCCUCCGUUGAUAUCAUUAUUGUCGAAAUGAUUUCCUUUAAGAGAAGGUUGGAGACGGAUCACGUGUGCCUGUGUUAUGUACCACUUCCCCAGUUGCGGAAUUGCUCUCAAGUGACUCACAUCAAGGUAUCAUUUAUGGCAGUCUCCAGGGAGGGUGAGAUUGAAAUUAAGAGGUGUGGGGUUGGUGUAGUGUACAGUAAUGAAGAUGGGAAUCACAACAAUCCCCCAAUGAUCCGAUUCAACUCUAUCUCCUCUCCUCCUCCUCCUCCUCGUAGUAAGUCAACCGUUGUCCUUGAAGAAAUCCAUGAGGAGGAACCUAGUGGAAAUGGGUGCUCUAAUGUUGAUGGCUCAGAAGAAGUGAGGAGGAACCUAGAACUGCUACUGUCUGCUCUGAGGAUCGGUCUGAAUCAGAUAUUCGGCCACAGAAAUGCUUGAAAUGCAGGCAUUAAUGAGGACAUCCCGUGAUCAGGAGAAACAGACCAGAUAAAUGCUUAAUAUGCACCCAAACCUUCCCAUAACAUCUCUUGGUGGGUUGUGUGUUUCUUUUCUUUUAUUUUCUUUUCUGCUGUUCUUUCUUAUCUGAUUUUGAGUAGAUGUCUUAAUUAAGACCAGUUAGAACUGUUUAAAGCAAGAAUUAAAAGAUCCGGUCAUACUGUUCGAAAUUAGAUUUGCUUAGAAUUACUCUCCCAUCAAUUCCUGAAACAAUUUGAUGAAUAAGUGAUAUUGUUUCUCACACAUCUUCAAUUUCAUGUGUUAAGACACAAAUGAUUGCAUAUCACUAGAAUCAUUGUGGAGUCCAUUUGUAUUUAUGCAUUCUCCUUCACUAAUCAUGGCGACUAAUCACAGAGUCCCCAGGUCUGUCUCUAGGUUGAUCAUCUUCAGUAGACAUACCAAUGCCUCCAUAUUGCUUUUGCAGUGGGUAAUGCAAUGCAAUUAACUGGGGUGAUGUAUUGACGAGGGGAUUAUUCUAGUGAAGGUGGAGGAGCAGAAGCGGAGGCACGAGGAGAAUAGAGAAAAGGUCUUGUAACAGAACCCAAUCUUCCAGAAUCUAAUUAUUGUUGCAUUGUUUUUCUUCAUUCUACGUAACUAAAGGAUUCACAGUACUCUAAAUUGUUAGAUUCUUCACUAGAUACAUUUGUCACAGGUUUCACUACUAUGUGAAGUAUCAGUUGCCAUGCAGCCAAGUGACUGCAUGCUUCAAAUUAAACCUCAGCAGAACCCUGACCACCCUUACAUUUGAUUGCAUUCCUUUUACUGUCUCUACCUUGCAUCGUACUUCACAAGUCUACAUUUGAUCUCACACUCUCUUGCUUGGCCUCACUUCUAUUUGGUUAUAAUUUAAAUAUGGCAUUUCUUGUCUGACUUCCUUUCUCCAUUGUAGAACUGUUGAUUUUAAGUAGGUCAUAAGUAAAUUUGAGUCAUUGCCUUGUUUUUUGAGUUGAUUUCUAUGCGUCACCAUGCAACUUGUUGCUUUUUUUUUUUUUUAAAAUUUUUUUUUUCACAUGUUGUUAGUAUGCUUAAGAAUGAUUAUAAGUAAGAAUUUAGAAUUAAAAGAAAAAAAAAAGAACUAGUGAGAAAAUAGAAAAAAGUGGGAGUCAGUUGUGGUAGUGAAUUUGACAAAAAGUUAAAAUUGGAGUAUGUUUAUGCUUGAAAGGGAAAUUUGGUAUCAGCAUCCAACAAUGCUUGUAAUAUUAUUUGUUAGUAAAUUAACUAACAUGGUGUUUUAAUAUAUUUUCUGUUUUUUAUUUUAAAAAAGAAAAUAGUAGAAAAUUUUGAAAGCAAUUUUAAAUUUUUUAUAUUUUAUACUAGAAACCUUAUAUUUUUAUAGGAGGGAUAUUCCAAUUUUUUUUUAACUAUAAUAAUAAUAAUUUCAAUAUAAAAUAUAGAAACUUUCAUAUUGAAAGAUAAUAGUUUUCAAAAAUUAUUUAAAAGAAUAUAAAUAUGAAUUACCUCAAAUAAUAGGGAAGUUUAUUUUUAUAAGAGUUUAGUUACUAAUAUUUUAUUUUUUAAAAUAAAAAAUAAGAAAAUAAUUCAAACCAUACUUAAAAUUUCAAAAUAUACUAACCAACAACAUCAAUAGAAACCAUGCAAUAUAGACUUCUUUCAUGUACCUAUGAUGGCUAGUUGGUUCUUUCUCCAACCACCCCCAACCUCUCUUUCCUUUGCACAACCAAGCCUCAUUGAACUUUGACUAAAUUAAUGGGAAGCACUUUGUCAAGCUUAUUUUUUAUACAUGGCAUAGAAAGAUCCAUUGUUGUGUGUAGUGGUUCAAUAAGUUUCUUAAUGAGGCUUUUUAUCAAGCGAUUUGCUUUCUAUAAAUUAUAUCAAUUUUUUUAAUAUAAUUAAGAAAACAAAGUUUGAAAAAAUGUAAUAAAAUAAACUAUGCAAGAUAAAUGAGACAGAAUAAGUAUGACAAAUUCUCAAAUUUGUUCUAUUUAACUUUUUAAAUAAGGUAAAGACAGAGAGCUAACUCACCUUAAAUCCACCCAAUUACAUCUCUACCAAGGAGUAACAUAAUAAUAAUAUUUGAUGAAAUUAAUAAUAAUAAAAAAUACUAUCAGGAUAAUAACAUUAAUACCAAUAUUAAUAUAAAAUUAAUAAUAUUCAUAUUAUAAGCACCAAUGAUAAUAGUAAUAAUUUUGGUAUUUUCUAUAUAUCAAUGAGUCAAAUAUCAUUGACUUUAAUUAUAUAAUAAGUUAAAAGUGGACUUUGACCUAAUUAUAUAGAAAGUUUAGGGCUUAUAAGCAUAAUUGUCUUCUUUUUUAACAAACUUUUUUUUUUAGCGACUUUGGCAUGAAAAAUAAAAUUAUUAAAGGAUUUGGUGUAAGACUGUCAAAUGAAUCCUUUUUUGUGAUAUGUUUCUUUGUCUUUAGCAUCAAUUGAACUAAUGUCUAUUUAAAUUGACAUUUGAGAAGUCAAAAUCUCCCUUUUAAACUUAAUAGAAGUUUAUAUGCUUUUUUGGCAAAUUGGUAGAAUUGUUGAUUGCUUUUGUGUCGUACACUCAAAAUUUUUUACGAGUUCAUUUAAACACCACCUGGAGUUAGCAUAAUUUGUCGAGAAAAUAAUAAUGAAAAUCUUUGAUUCUUCAAUGGCUCUCAAAAGAUCUGAUGCAAUAUCUCCUCCUUUCUCAAGUUCUUCAUCAUCUCUGAAAGAAUGAACUCCAUAUGCAACUAAAGUUGUAUAGAGAUGAUCGGUGAAAUUUUUGCGAGUGUCUUCACCUCUAAAACUUAUAAACACAUCAUAACUAUGAGGAGUAGAAGUAGAAGAAGAGGCUUUCUGGGUGCUGGUAGAGGCCAUUUUGGAUUGUUUGUGCUGCACCUGCAAAAGUCUGGGAAAGAGAGAGAGAGAAGGUCUUUGGCAGUGAUUGAAAUGUCGAUUUUUAUCCUUGAAAUUUCGCCGAUAUUUCAGUCAUCGGUGAAACUCGAUACGACAUUGAGGGCCGAUAACCGGUUGGAAGGAAUUUCGCUCAAGUAUCACGAGUGUUGGAAGUAGUGUUGGUAACAACUUAAAGAGCACUUGAGCAGCCUUACUGCUUGAAGCGACACUGGAUGUAACUUAUAGCACUUAAGUGAUAGGUGCGAAGGAAAGGAGCACUUGAGCGCUGGUGACAACACUCAAGCAUUCAAAGCAGAACAGAAGCAACCAAGUUUAAAUGAGAAACCUUUCAAGGAGCUUAGAAUCCCAAAAACAAAUCAAAAUAGAAUAUAUAUAUAUGUGUGUGUGUGUUUCAAAAUAUCAUAGGGUAUAAUGAUAGUGCAGAAACUUGUAAAAUUAGAUUGAAAAGUAAUAUAUCAAGUAAAAUGGCUAGAUAAUAUAGAUUAAUAAAACAAGAAUGAAGUUUUAGCUCCAAAGAACAAAGUUAAUCCCAAUUUUAGUUUAGAAACUCAAUGUAUAAUUGUCAAUGUAUAAGAUGAUCAACAUAUAAACAUAAGUAUUGACAUUCAAGGGAAUACGACUUAAUGUCUAGUUUUAUAUUUCGAAAUUGAUCUCUUUGAAGAAAUCAAGUCUUGUCUUUAGUCAAAUUAAAAUCAUAUCCAGUCAAUUUGUUCUAAGACCAUUGGACUUCUAUUUAACAUAGUCUUGUUAAUAUAUAAACAACACAACUUAACUUCCCUUUAAUUUGAUAUCAUCUUUUUUUCUUUUGAAAGUGGAUGCAUCAUAUACCAUGAUCACAUUUGGUUUUUCUUUAUUUUAUUCACGGUUGCCUUUAUAUCCACUUUAGGGGUGUUUCCAAAUGUUGUAAGUGAAUAGCAUAAAUUUAAUGAACGAAUCUUAGAAAGUAUAUAAGAGUUGAACUUGGCCAAGGAUUCAAAUUUUGCACUGACUCACUUUGAAAAACAAUAUAAUAAUAUUAGUCAAACAAGGUAUGUGGACAAUAAAAUUUAGGCAUGACAAUUGAUCCUUCCAAAGAAACCAAAGUCUACUUUAUUAGGUAAACUUAAGAAGUCUUCCUCUUAAUCAAUCACAAAGAUUAAUUAUCAAGAAUCAUGGGCCUCAAUAGUGAUGAACAAAUAUCUAAGGAAAAUUAACAUCAUAUCUUGUACAUUUAAUAUAUUUCAUUAGGUCAUAAAUUUGAGAUAUUACAUAUCAUCCUAAUAAGGCAAGUAAGUAAACAAUAAUCAUGUGCUUAAAGAUGAUAUAAAUAAGGCCAAAGGAAACAAAACCAAAAAAUAGACAAUAAGAAACAAACCUUUGAAGCCUAUCAAAAAAGAUCUUAAUCGAUCAAGCACAUGCCUAAAGAUUUCCUAAGAAAUUCAAACCUAAGAGAAUCCAAGGGUUUAGUAAAGAUAUUUGUCAAUUGAUGUUCAGUGGGGACAAACUCCAGAGAAACAACCUUAUUUUCAACUAAAUCCCUAAUAAAGUGAUGACGAAUUUCAAUAUGUUUAGUAUGAGAAUGAAGAAUGAAGAAUAACUUGAAUUUAAACAAUAAACAACCUUAGACGGAAUGUUUAUUUUUUAUAUAUAUCAUGAUGUUUAACUUUCAUAUCUUAUUAUUUUCAUAUACUACAUGCAAUGUUUAUGGAUCUCAAGCCUCUUAUUUGUUUAUACAUAAAAUUAUAUGGGUUUAGCACUAAUGAAUUGAUAAAACCUUACAUGAUUGUGUCAUAAAUUAUGCAAAUUAUGCAACAUUAGCCUGAAACUAAUGUCAAUACAAUGUCAAGGCUCAAAAACUUGAUUAAAAGGUCUCAAAAAGUUACUAUUUUAUUAUUAGAUAGAACAAAAUUCUACAUGAAUAAUGCUUAAGAUGCCUAAAGAAUCAAUAAAGAUAUCAGUUCUAGUGGAUAUCAUAUUAUAAUUAUGAUGAAUUAGAAGUUCCUUGAAAUAAAUUAGUAUAUGUUUUUUAAUGACCAACUUGGUCUCCUAGGAUUGACAAUAGUUGUCCUUGAAAAAUGGGUAUUACUUUAAUACCACUUGAAUAAUAACCAAAAGUCCACUAAAAAAUGCCCAGAGAGGGGUGAAUAGGAGAUUUUAAAAAUUAUAAAUAAAUUAUGUCUAAACUUUAUUUUAAGAGAUAUCAGGGAUGUCUUGGAUAAUCAAAUAUGAGUUCACUAUAAAUAAAUGUAUGAUUUUUAUGGUUAAUUGAUAUCCAAAGAUUAUUCAGGGAUAAAAUAAUAUAAUUAUCAAUAUCGGAGAUAGAUAUUGAGAUAGGUUAGGAAUGAUAAUAACCAACAAAAUAACCAACCUCACAAACUCAAUAACAUUCUCAACAAACCAAACAAAUUAUAUAUUAAAUGAAGUUAGGAAUAACAAUAAUUUGUUAUAGGUAUAGCCACUAUAACCACCAAUAUAACCAACCUAACAACUCAACAGUCAACUAACCAAUCAAUCAUAAGGGUAUCUCAUUAACAACCUAACUAAUCAAUUCAAGAUAAUCAACAUUAUCAACCAGAAUAUAACUAGGAAUAAAUAGAUAUGCACUUUUUAGGAAAACCCUACAAUAUAUUAGGAUUAAUCAAAUUAACAUAUUUUAGGCAAUUCAAACAUAAUGUCAAAUAUAAAGAUAUAGACAAUGGGGUACAAGAUUUUUACGUGGAAAACCCUUACAAACUUGUGAAGAUAAAAAACCACAAGGUCUAAGACCUAUAAAUUAAUCUAAAUCCACUAUUUGAAAUCAAGUUACACAAAUUUACCUAGCCUUUUUACCCUAAAGACUUACUUUUCAAAGCUUACAACUUGAUCCACAUCCACGAUGCAACAACUCCCUGUUGCUCCCUAGUAGAUCCUUUGGCUACUCCUAAGGGAUUAAGGUUUUCAACCAACAAUUCAAAUAUCCAAGUCCUUGAAUGAGAUAUUAGGAAUGAUGUGACAAUUAAGCUUUCUUCACAAGGAGUCCCUCUUUAAAGAAUAAGAGGUUUCCCAAACUCUAAGAUCUCUACGAUCUCAACAAUCUCCAAUCUCUAUGAUCUCCAAUCGCUAACCCUCAAUGGGUUAUAAAGGAGGUAUUUAUAGGCAAAAAUCAUAAGAGUUUCGGUAUCUAAAGUUUCCAAAUUAAAGUUCAAAUAAAAUUCAUCCAAAAUAUGUUUCUAAACUCGAUAGGACUAAUAUAACCAUUUGAGUGGACUUGGACCACUUGAGCGAUCCUUACUACUUGAGUGGGUUGACCACUUGAGCGGUCUCUGCUUCUUAAAAAAUCAUUUAAAAAACAUUUUAAGUCCAAAAAUGACACUGGACCUCCUUAGUGAUUGAAAAAUAGGGAGGAAGUGGUACCUCCUUAGUGACACGGAGUCUGAGUCAUAUAGGAGAAACCACAUGUUUCAAAAAAAAAAAACAAAAGAGUUAGUGAGUAGAGGAAAUAGAAAAAUGCCAAGUUUAAACAAAAAAUGAUGUCUAUAUAUGAUGUAUCAUCAGUAAUACAUCCAAUCCCAUAGUAUAAAACAUCAACACAUGGAAUUAUGUAUAAUAUAUAAAGACAAAAAGUAAAGAGAUGAUCAAGUAAUGGUAGGGUCCUUUGGAGCUGAUGCAUCUGUGGUGGCCUCUUGAGUGGGUUGGAUCAGGACUUUAACCUCUGUUCUGAUAAUCUCCUUAGGUGGCAUAGUCUCCUCAACUGGAGCUAUGGGCUUUGAUGGUUUUAAGGAGGUCUGAAAUGGAGUGAGAGGCUUCGUGUGUGAUCUCAGUGAGAGGGCUCUCCUCUUUAGAUGCAUGGUUGCGUGGUUUGUCUUCAAACGGCCAUAACUUUUUCGUUUCAACUCCAAAUCGUGCACCGUUUAAAGCAUUGGACUCCUGACUUCCCAAGAUUUGAAAUGACAUAUGGUAUGCACAAUUUGAGCUCCAGGAAGUUCUUCAAAAAUGUGUCCAACAGUAGCGAAAUGCAACAUUUCCGUUCUGAUUUUGAUCAUCCAAAAACCUAUAUUACAUCAAAACAAAUUAGAAUUAAAGCAUUGAAAUCAAAAUUAAAACAAGUAAUAAACAAAACAAAAAGAUAUGGAUUAGCUAGUCUUUAAAAAGACUAAGUCCAUUAAAAAAUUUGAUCCUGAUUUAGCUUGCCCGGAUCCCAUAUGAAGUUUGCAUCCCUCACUUGAGACUUGGUUUGUAUGAUUUUUCCAUACAAAGCUUGGGGGAAAGGUGGAGGGAUGUAAUUCUUCAUAAUUUCUUCCUUGAUGACUAUCCUUUGUGGUUUUCCUUGUAUAUUAACAUCAUAGCCAUCUUUCUCUAUCCUUUUCCCCUUUUUCUUUCCUUUGAUUUCCUCCCUCUUUUAUUUCUCUGUUUCACUCUCUACCUCAUGCUCUAGCUUGGAUGUGGGUAGAUCAACCUCUUUACCACUCCUCAAAGUGAUAACCGUUUUAACUUCCUUCACCAUUGAAGAUUCUCCCUUUUGAGUCUCCACUUCAUGGAUACCCUUGGAAUUUUGAUGAGGUUGAGAAGGAAAGUUUCCUUUUUCUUGCACUUUGUUGAGGUUGGCAAACCAUGAGAUUGAAUAUUGGAGGUUAUCUAUCUUUUGAGAUAAAUCAUUUUGCACUCCAUCCAUCUUUUUGUUCAAUGAACUCUCUACACUGUCAAUUCUUUGACUGAGUUGAGAGUUGAUGGAUUUUUGUUCUCCAAUAAAAUCUCCCACAACCUUGCUGAGAUUCAUUAUAGCUUGAUGAAGUUUCGAGGCUUGCUGAGGUGCUUGAGCAGGUUGCUGGUACCGAGGUGGCUGUGGUUUCCAAGAGAAAUUUGGAUGGUCCCUCCAAUUGGAAUUGUAGGUGUUGCAAUCACCAAACAUUUCUCUCACCAUUGGAAUGGUAGGACACUGAUCCACCAAGUGCUCAAAAGAUCGACAAAUGGAACAAGGCAUAGGUUGCAAUGGUGUCUGAGAGAUGGCUUGCACUUCUUGCAUCUUCUUCAUUUCUAGCUCUUCCAAUCUCCUUGCCAUAGCUGCAAUCUUUGCCUUCAUGUCUAUGCCGUCAUUCAAAAUAUACAUCUCAGCCUUAGUAUUAGGUUGAGACAUCGUUCUUCCCAUAUUUCGAGCAUUCGGUUUAUCCCAUCCUCUUGAAACUUCAGCCACAUAUCUCAUGAAGUUCAUGGCUUCCUAUGCUAUCUCGUAUUCAAUAUGGCAUGCACAACUAGCAAUUUAUGAAUUAAAAACAGAGAAAAUAAAAGAAAACAAAAGAAAAACAAUUCUAAGAAAAAAAAUUAAGGUAAACUAAAAACUAAAUAAAAAGUAUACUAAAAUAUGAACAAAGAAAAAGAAACAAAUAAAAAGAGUUAGUAAAAAGAAAAGAAAAGUCACCAAACUUGUGAUGAAGAUCACAAGUACUCUGAAAAGGUCAUAUCACUGUAAAGUGGUACCAUCCCCGGCAGCAGCGCCAUUUGAUUCUUUCCCAAUUGGUGUCUCAGCUGAUUCAUGUCCUCUCAAUGGUCCCUGACAGUGGUGCCAUUUGAUUCAUGUCCAGUUGGUGUCCCUUGAUUGUGGUCCUCAGGGAGUAAUCAACAAAAUUUAUAACCUAUUACACCAUGUACUAGGAUAGCCUUAGCUAGCAUAGCAUAGUGGCUCUAGGGUCGUUCACUGGGAUGGGUUUUCACUCUACAAUUGAUAUUAAUUCAAAGUUGAAUUGGUGCCUUUUCAUUUUAAGGUUAGCUUUAAAAGAAAACAUAAAGAUGUUUAAAUGAAAAAGGUUUGGUUUUAAACUAACCAAAAAUAGUAACUGAUUUUACUUACAAAGAAAAGUGUUUCUUGGAGUUUAGAUCACUGGGCUCAGAUUCCUUGUACAAAAAGGGAGUUUCGGUCACUUGUUUCUUUCCCUUGCAUUAGAGAAUUAACAUAUAGUUAAUUCUCUAACCGGUGUGGUACAGAUGUUUCCCUUUAAUGGGUUCAAACACUAAAUCCCUCUCACUGAUGCAAUUUGCAAUGGCUCGUGCCUCUCACCUAGCAUUUGCCAUUCAAGGUGAUCUUUAACCUUGGAUUACCCAUCAAAAGCUCGCAAAAGAUAACUAAUGGAUGUCUCCUUGGAGUCCAAAAGCUUACCAAGUGUUGGCUAUUCUAGAAAAUCCUACCUUCGAGUCACUUCCUAAAAGCUCGCAAGAGGUAAACUAGUGCAUUUCCAUGGACGGAGAUCACUGGCCUUACCAAGUGUUGGCUUAAGUAACUUGAAGGCGUUUUAAGUUAACUAAAAAGAUAAAAACCAUUAUCGGGUCACACUUUCUCUUCAUUAAAAACUAAAACAACAAAACUUCCAAUUUAUGCAUGAGGAACUUACCCGGCUUUCUUCAAUCCAAGAGACGAAGAGCCUAGCCUCUCAACCUCUGAGGAAAAAUCCUCAGAGUUUGAUUGGCUAGAAAUAAGAAGAACGAGAAAACAAAAAUAGGAAAAACAAAGCAAGUGCUCCCUUUGUCAAUUUCACAUAUAUUAUCUAUAUAUCUAUCUAUGUUCUUUACAUUGGUUCAAAGAUAUAUAUAGAGAAGAUAUUUUCUAAGAAAUAUCCCAGUAAUAUCUUUGACUGAUUACAAGGAGAAAAUAGAAAUUUACACAAAAUAUCUUGAGAGAAAAAAUCUAACUUAGUCGGUGGCAAAUAUCGGGAAGCUUCAAGAGAACACUGCGGCACUGUGCAAAAAUCUGGGUAAUCUGAAAUGUCGGCCGCGGAUGCUCUCCGGGUGAGUGCUAUCAGAGGAUCUGGAUAUGUCUGACCGGGGAAUUUGAAACGUCUUCCUCUCCCAUCCGGAUGUGAGAUAUCCCACGCCGCAAGGCUAUCCGGAUUCCCCAAGCGGAAAGGCAACGCAAUGCUAUCCGGAUCCCCUCAGGGUUCUACACACGACACUCGUAAUAAUCACACCCGGACGAUAGCAUAUCCUAUCCGGAUAUGUUGUCCGAAUGGAAAACAUUGACUAAAGUGAGCAAGCCUUGCUACUUCAUUCCGAAAGCCUACCACAGCUCACGUUCCGCCGCCCUCCGAUGGUGUGUCCGGACGCCCUGUCCGGACAUCUUUUGCCAAGGAUUCCAAAGAAUCUCUCCUCAAUCUUGGAUUGCUUUGGUGAUCAAAAAGCUAUCAAAACACCAAAACUUAACACAAUUUGAUUAGAAUUGAUUGCAAGGGUCCUUAAUAUGUUAAUUGGGUUAAAAGGUGAUAACUAUUACUCAAAAGUGUUUAUAAGAGUUAAUUACAAGCUAUGAAAUAACACUUUUUGAGUAGUAAUCAAAAAGCCCUUGAAUAAAUAGCAUAGGUACAACAUUCCCUAAAAAGGAAGAUGGUUCAAAAAAGGCAAUAACCCCCUGAAAACUAAAAAUAGCGAGAUCUCCAUAGGUCAUAUAAAAUGGAAACAAAAUAAGGUCUUUUUUCCAAAGUAACUUAACGUCAUUAAAAAUGACGAGGAUCUCAACUGAAAAAAAAUGGUAUAAAUCUAUUAAUCAAAGUGGAAACAAGUAAUCCAAAUAGAUCUAAACUCAUUAACAAAAUGAGAAACAUUAAGACCUAAAGUCUAAUGCAUGAAGAUAUAUGAAGAUAUAAAAAUAAGAGAAUCUGAAGUCUAAAUCCUAUUGAAUAAAUGAGUAUUUGUAUUAAAAUGCUAUAAAAAAAAAUGAGAUCAUGAGACAUUAAAUAUUACUUUUAGCAUGAAGUUUAUAGAAGUAACCAUAUAUCAACUCUCAUAAUAACUCAAUUAUGUAGUAUUCCUAGAAAUACAUAAUACAGAUUUUCUAAAUGUAGCUAUAACUUAUUUAUAUGGACUCAUAAAUAUUAAUAUACAUAUAAAUCCUUGAGGGAUUUUGAAUGUUUGAGAAAAUAAUUUAAAAUCUCAAGUGUGAAAUUCCUAAAGAAUUUAAAAUGCUUGAAUUAAAUUAUUUAAAACCUCAUAGUAUGUAUUUAAUCAAGCUAUAAUGCUUCUUAUAUGGAUUAAAGCAAUUUGGAUGUAUGUGGUACAAUCGCCUUAGCAAAUAUCUUUUAAAAGAAGGGUGUAUGAAUAACCUUAUAUGUCUAUUCAUUUUCAUUAAGAGAUCAAAAAUUAGAUUUGCAAUUAUUGUAAUGUAUGUUGAUAAGCUUAAAAAACUCAUAAAAACUGCUAAUUAUUUGAAGGGAGAAUUUAAAUUGAAAGAUUUAAGGAAAACAAAAUCUAUCUUGCCUUGUAGAUCGAGCAUCUUUCAAAUAGAGUGUUGAUCCAUCAAUCGACGUAUAUAGAAAAGAGUCUUUUAGCAUUUUCUUAUGGACAAAUCACAUCCAUUAAAUUCUUCAAUGGUAGGUAGCUCACUAGAAGGGGAAAAAAAAUUGACAUGGGUUUAUUUUAUUCAAAAGGAUUAGAGUCUCAAUUGCUUGGCUUUAGGGAUGCUAACUAUUUUUUUGAAUCCUCACAAAACUUGAUCUUGGACAUGGUAUGUAUUUACCUACGAUUAAUAAUAUCAUAAAAAUCAGUUAAACAAACAAUGACAAUCGCCUCUUUAAAUCAUUCAAAAAUAAUAGUAAUCCAUGAAGUAAGUCAUUUUAUACUCAUAUUAGAGAGUAAUGUGGACCAUUCCUCAUCAAAGAUAAUCUGACCAAGUUACAUGAAGACAAUGUUGCUUAUAUUACACAACUUAAAUGAGGAUGUAUAAAGGGUGACAAAGCUAAGCAUAUUUCCCCUAAGUCCUUUUAUACUCAUGGGCUCUAAGAAAAUGGUGAAAUUCUUGUUCAAAAGAUUCGAUCAUAUGAUAAUCAAAUAGAUUUAUUUACAAAAGCAUUACCAUCUACUACUUUGAACAAGUUAAGAUGUAACACUGGGAUGCAGAGAGUGAGAGAUCUAUAAAUUGAAGCAUUGAAAAAAGUAUGAUCAUGUCUACAUUAGGGUGGGGGGGAUAUUAAUGUCCAUACACUGUACUCUUUUUCCUUUGUCCAAAUUUUAUCUCACUUGGUUUUAUUGACAAGGUAUUUCAUGAGGCAUUGUUAAGAUCAAAUUAUUUACAAGAAAAUAUUACUUUUUUUUUUCCUUCACUAGGAUUUUCCUAUUACUUUGUUUUCCUAGUAAGGUUUUAAUAAGGCAUAUUCUUUGAUCAUUUAAAGGGGAGUAUUAUGAUUUAUAGGAUUUGGUACAAGAAUUUGUUAGGAUGGAUGAUCAUAUGUUCCUUGAUAUUUCUUAACUAUUGUUGUUUGCCUUCUCCUAAUUUCCUAUAAAAGGAGAGUUCUACUACUAAAAUUACACAGAGUUUGAUUCUCACUAUCUCUUCUUCUAUUUGUUCUCCUAUUAUUUUCUUUUUUUAUAACAUUUUUAACUUUUAUGUACUUGGAGAAAUAUGCAAGGUAGUAGUAGUACAUUUUUUAGUAUGUCUUAUGGUUUUAUUCUAUGUGUACUAACAUUUUUUUCUUUAUUAUUCAAAUAAUUUAAAAUAUCUUUUUCAUUGUUUCAUUAGUGUAAAACUCUUACUCUCACUUUUGGACAUGCUUUGGCAAUACGUUUAAUUUUAUUUCAAUUUAAUAUUCAAUCUAAUAUGUUCAAUAUUAUCCUCAACUUAAAUAUUUACUAAAAAUUUAAAAAUUCUAUGUUAUAUUUAGUAUACAAGAACACAAGAAGUUAGUUACAUGGAUAGCACAAUAUGACCCAUUCAACUUCACAAAUGGGUUAAGUCAAAUUACAUAUUAAUUGAUAAACUUGUUAACACAAUUCUAACCUGAAAAACCUAUUAACGUGAUUCUAACAAGAUGAACUUGUAAACACUGUUCUAAUUCAUUGAACAUUUAAAAUUUUAAAUUUCUAAAUGCAUUAUUUUAAAAUACCUUUUAUUUUCAGUUUUAACUUUUUAUAACCUUAAUUAAUUUAAUUAUUGAAUUUUAAUUAUAAUAUAUUUAUAAUGUAGAAGUAUAUUUAGAUUUUAAUUUUACACUUGUUUAUAAAUUUAUUUAAUGUUUUAAUUAUAAAAUAUUUUUUAAUCUUUAUAAUGAAAUAUAAAUUUUUUUUACUUAGAUUGUUAUUUACUUUUUUUAACUAUCAAAUAUUUAUAAUUAAAAAAAGAUAUUUUUAAUUUAAAUUAAUAAAUUUAUAUGAGUUAAAUGGGUCAUAAUUGGGUCAUUUUUAACACGAUUAAGCAAAAGAGGUUUAAUAGUUGGAUGGAUUGAUUGCUCAAACUUGAACAUGAUUAAUUAAUUAAAUAGGUUAGACAGGUUGAAUAGUUAAACUUAAAUAUGACUCAUUCAUUAAAUGAGUGACAAGGGUGAACAUGAGCACGAUUACACUCAAGAAAAACACCCGUUGGAUGAGAUUCAAGUGCCUCCAACUCGUAUGGGAAGCCAUGCAGGAGAUAUGUGUGAACCUCGUUCGGCAACCAAUCAUCAACCCUCCAACCCAACGAUACACUCGAAGCUCAACUUGCUAAGUACCAAGCACAGUUGGAAGAGCUAAGGGAGGCUACCAAUAGGCUCCGAAGCAAAAAUGAGGAAAUUGUGUGUACCCUAAUCGGAAGUAUCGGUCCAACAAGCCCGAAUAAAAACAUUCAGUCACUUAUUUGUGUUCGAGAAGGACUAUUCAAUCAAACAUAAUUGGAAACAAGGUUUAAAAUAUUCGAAUAUUUUAUCGAUAUUUUACUGAAUUUUCAAAUUUUCAUGUUUUAAUAUUUCAUUGAUAUUUUCAAACAUUUUAUCAAUAUUUCAUUGAUUUUUUUAUUAUUAAAUAAAUAAAUUAUAAUUAUUUUAUUUCUACAUUUGAUUUAAUUUAUUACCAAAAAUAUAAAAACAUAAUUUUCUUAAUAUGUCUUUUCUAUAUAAUCUAUAUAUUUAUUAAAUAUAAUAAAUAUAACUAUUGAAAAAAUUAUACAUAUAUUAUUGUUUAUUUGAUAUCAUUGAAACAUUUAAAUUAAAAUGGAUGAUAAUUUUAAUAUUAAAUAUAUUUUAAAAUUAAACAUAUUAUCAUAAUAAUAUUAUAAAAUAAUCUAUAAUAUAACUUAAUAAUAAAUGUACACUUCUAAAAUUUAUAUUUUUUAUCAAAAAAUAUUAUUAUCAAAUAUAACAAAUUAUAUAAUUAAUUAAUUAAUUAAUUAUUAUUAUUUUUAAAAUAACUUUAAAAUAUUUAUUUUUAUUUCUUAUAUAAUUUUUAAAUAUUUUUUUAAAUAUUUUUAGAAUUUUCAUUAAUUUAUUUAUCAUCGAUAUUUUUUAUAUAUCUUCGAUUUAUUUGAUAUAUUCGUAAAAUGAAAUACCCUUUCAUCUAUUGGAAAAGGGCCUCAUGGAAGAACCUUAGGAGCCAUCACAUCUGACACAAAUCAUAUCUGGCACCAUGGCUCGGAUAAAUCUUGAUGGAAACCUCGCACUUCAGAACUUUUGGGCAUAAACCUCGAAGGCUAAUAGGACAGCAUAUGCAGAGUAUGAGGUACGGCUCCCAAAGCGAAAAGACAUAACCAGUAGAGUAUUUUCCGAGGGAAGCAACAUGCACCGCCUAACACACACCACCUCGAUCAAUAGCAAGCAUUGUGAAGUUCCUUAAGUUUGGCUUGACAAGAGCUCAUUCCUAAGAAAAAGUUGACUCCAUGACCACCAAUCAGGGCACGCCCAAGAGAAACUAUAAAUCCUGACAAAGGAUGAGCAAGAGGGGCAGAAAAACAUGGAGAGAAAAACAUACUGAAGGGUAAGGAAUCAAGAAUUUGAGAAAAUUGGUGGCUAUCUUGGAUCAACCAUAAGAAAGUGGUCGCUAGUCUACAUUGGGGCAACCCCAAUCCUUGAAGUAGUCGAGCACCAACAAAAAUGGUUGCAUAAAUCAAUGCAGCAGCGCAAAUGCACUCAAGUGUAGUAAAGAUCGAUCACCAGCCAGUAAAGAAACCCUGCCAGCUCUCCAAUGGAUCACAUUAUCUGGGACAAACAACAAUUGUAGAUAUUAAUGACCAUGAUUCAUAUUGGGAAGAGGAAGGCGCAACCCACUCGCAAUGGGUAGGGCCUGAUCUGAGUAAGGCUACCAAUCCUGCACUAGAAAAGAACUGAGUAUAUCAUUCCCUAGGAUGCACCCAUGUGUCUAGCAAGUUGGGUGCAAUGAUUUCGGGAAUCUCACCUCGGUCGAAGCCCCUUGUCUGGGCACUGAUAAGAAUGACAUCUUGGCUUCUUAAUGACAUGUUGUCCACCUCACUCUUAGAUCGAAUUUUGAAGCAUGGUCAUCCACUAGGGUUCGUUGUGCUGAAGUUUACAAUGUAUGACGACACCUUUGAUCCGUUUGACCACUUAAUGCACUACUAACAAGUCAUAACCUUGGAUAUCGACAACCAUCUACUACUAUGCAAAGUCUUUCCGGGGAGUCCUCAUGGAUCGACUUCCUCCUAACUCUAUCUGUUGUUUCCAUGAGUUAUCAGAUGUUUUUAUGGCUCAUUAUCUUUGUUCCGCCCGCCAGUAUCAAGGGCUCGAUAGUCUUAACAACCUUAAGAUGAUGGAAUAUGAAACAUUGCGUGAUUUUAUGAAGAGGUUUGGGCAGACAGUGACAUAAAUAAAGACUUGCAACAUGGAGGCGAUAAUGUAGGUAUUCAAAAGAAGCUUCGUGCCGAGAACAUCUUUCUUCAAGUCCAUUUCGAAGAAACCACCGGAGACCAUGGAUGGCUUUCAAAAAAAUAACAAGUAUGCCAUGUUGGAAGACAUUUUGUGCACCGCAUUGUAGAAGAUUGUGGCAACCUCUCAUGCUCCCUUGAUCUGGAAAAAUGAUUUGUUUAGUGUUAAGAUGGAAGGAAAGUGCUAGAUGGGCCGGGAGCCUCCAAACGGCAAGAGAACUAAAAUAAGAGAGUCAAGCGGCCGCCCUACCCCAUAAUUCACAAAGCUUACUCUCGGCUAUAUGCAAUUGUUGCCCAUCAUUCAGAAUUUAGGCGGUUUUUAGUGGUUGCACCCCAUGAGAGGAGACUUAAGCCAACGAGAUCAAAGUCGGUUCUACGAGUAUCACAGGGAUAGGGGGCACACCACAGAGGAAUGUCGCCACCUUCAUUACUAAGUGGAGUGGUUUAUUCCAGCGGGGAUGCUUCAACAGUAUGUAGAAAAACCACAUCUGUCUAUAAGGGGAGAUCAAAACCCCUACGCAGCAGCCACAUUCGCAACCAUUAACAGUCACCGAAUGAAGGUCGGUACAUGUGAUACAUGAGGGAUCCGUGAACAAGCAGUGACAGGACAAUAAAAAAACCAAAACUAUGAUAAAUGCAGUAGAAUGAGCGACAUCCAUUAACAACAUUUAAUAUGUCUUCACUCCUAGAAGCGUCCUCCCCAGCAAAAGUUUAACGGUCUAGGAGUAACUGCAAAGCACCCGACAAAAUAUUAAAGGCCUAGGGUGCCCACAAAGCACUCCACCAAAAACUAAUGGCCUAGGAGUGCCCGUAAAACACCCGAAAAAAUAUUAACAGCCUAGGAGUGCCCGCGAAUCACUCUACCAACAACUAACGACCUAAGAGUGCCUACAAAGCACCAACCAAGCCUUAGGCCACGAAGCAUUUUGUUAAGCCUAACAUAAUGCCCAUGAAUAAUUCAACCAAGCCUAAAACAAUGCCCAUAAAGCAUUUGGCCAAGCAGAAAAGAAUGCUAGUGAAGUAUUCGACCAAACCUAAAAGAAUGUCCAUGAAGCAUUUGGCCACAAAGAAUGCCCACAAAGCAUUCCACCAAACCUAAAAAUAUGCCUAUGAAGCAUUAAGCUAAGCCCAACAGAAUGUCUGCAAAGCACUUGGCCAGACCGCCAACAAAAAGCUGAUGAGUGCCCAUGAAGCACUCGACCAUAUCACAUGAACUUAGCGGCUUAGGUAUACCUACAAAGCACUUAGCCAUGCCACUAGAAAAUCGCCAAGAUGUGCCCAUGAGGCACCCAGAUCUUGCGGCUUAGGUGUGCCCACAAAGCGCCUAGCUAAGCCACACAUGCCUUGUAACCUAAAAAUGACCAGAAAGCACUGGACUUGUAGUACUCCUAAACACCCAACCAGACCAAAACCAUUAACAACCAAUCGACACACAAUCAAAUUACAACCCAAAAACAAACACCCAAUAAACUUAGGAAAAUACAGAAAACAUAUUGCAAAUAUCCAGUGAAGUCCAAAAAAGUAUCGCACAUAUCCAUUACAUAAAAAAUGUCCAUAACCAAAAAUGGGGAAGAUUCCCCCCACAAUUCUCUCAUGCAACAACAUCAGAGUAUCGUCGGUAGCCUUCCUAGUCUUGGGUACGUCGCUAGCAGCCCUCUCAACAUCAACCACAUUCCUAGGUGUUGGAGCACUCCUGCCCAUGAAAAAUGACAUAUUGUAUCACCGUCGGAGAAAGAUCAUUUGAGGUGAUAUUCAGGUGAAAGUAUCUGGGGUGAUAUCCGAGUGAAAGCAUUUGGGUAUGGAGAAAACCCUAGCCCAACUAGGAAUGGCAAUGGAGCAGGUUCGGGACAUGUCAUUCCCAUCCAUUCCCGCACCUGAUUAUAUAGUUAUUUCCCAUCCCCGGCACAAACCCAUGUCGAGGCAGGUUGAUUGGUCCCCAUCCUCGUUAACAAAAGAAUUAAUAACCCCAUCCUCGCCCCGUCCCGAAUGUCCAUUGAGCCCUAACCCUAAUUGGUGAUGAGUAGAUCUUAUACCUAAAUGCACUUUCCUUUCACUACAAAAUAACGAGAUUAUGAUAAUAUACCAAAUAUGAAAAAAUAAUAUAAAAGUUGAAUUUAACACCACAACAAUCAAUAAUUUUAAGCUCAUAGUUAGUUUAAAUGAUUCAAAAUUAAUGCAAAACAGGAAAAAAAAAAAUCAUCUGAACAAUUUAUAAGAGCAUAGAAUGAACAAUGAACCAAACGAAAAAUGGGUUACUAUCAGCCAUGGAUGUGAAUCCCUCUUCAAGCCAAUCUUUGAACCAAAACUUCAUCAAAUCCACUACUUCAAAGGUUUUCGCGUUCCUUUUGAGUUGUGCUCUCAAACAAAGACUUCAAGGGGAUGCUCUAGAUGAUUGUGUUGCACAUAUUUAGGGCAAGGAGACCGAAGUUUAUAACUAGUUUGAUGUCGCGAUAGAGGAGUUUUGGGCUCUGAGGCUAAACCAAGAGCAAAAUGGAAUUGAUUUCAGAGUAUUUUAGUUUGGUGUGAGGGAGGAAGAAAAAGUGGCAUUGAUCCUGGAGUUAGGGUUUUAGGUAGUGCAUUAGAGGAAGAAGAAGAAGUGGUUGUCGGAAUUAGGGCAAAUGGGAAGAAUGAAAGACAAUGUAUCAGAGGAAAAAGAAGAAGAAGGAGCGGUUGUCAGAAUUAGGGCCCGCAAAUAAGAAAGAAUGAAGUAUAUAUAUACAAGGAGUUUUUUGACAUUUUACUAGUAAUUAAAGGAUAAGUUUGUAAAUUUAUAUCUGGGGUUGGGCGGGGUGGGUUGGAACAAAAUCCAUACCCGUCUCAAACCCGAUUCAAAAUUUUAUAAUAUUUCUAAAUCCGACCUAUACCCAUUUUUUUAUAUUUCACACCUGUCCCAAUAGGGGCGGGGCAAAGCGGGUUACCCGGUUAGCCCACAAAAUUAUUGUCCCUAAGCCUAACUAUCCCAUUUAUAAUGAUGUCAAAUACUUUCGAUCCAUUUUGAUAAUGUCUGUUCAUUUUAUUCGGGUUUAGGUCAGUCAUGUAAACUUGAUUGAAGUCAUUUGACAUAGCCUAACUGAGGCAUCUAGAAAAAGCACCAGUCAAAAGAUGGCUCCCAACUUUGGUAGCAUCUAGAACGUGGCCUUGUAAUAUGUAAGUGGUGUUACAUAAUUUCAGGCGCAUGAAGAUGAACAUAUCAUUGAAGUGCAAAAUAUGCCUCCAUGUGUGCAAUGGUAAAUCAAAAUAAUUGGUUAUGUUAUCAUGGAUAUCAACCUAUAAAAGAGAAAACAAGCCAAUUAUAUGGGAUUAUUCUCUCUUACUCGACAUUCUGUGUACCAACAACACCUAUCUAUAAAGCUUCUCUAACAAAAAAUAAAAAUAAAAAUACAUACAUAUAUAUAUAUAUAUAUAUAUGUAUAUAUAUAUGUAUAUAUAUAUAUAUAUUUCCUUAUUAACCCAAAAAUUGUAAAAGAUUGCAAGUAAUUCCAAAACUUCCAUCAAGCAUAUUAUAUAUAUAUAUAUGCAGAAAAUUGCACAUCAUUGAAAGAUGUCUCAUAUCAUGUCACUCCCCAAGACCAACUCCAAGGGCGUGACGGUCAUUUCACACCUCAAACCCAAAGGCUUAAAGUGUAACCUGACCCAAACAAUUAUUUUAUAACUGGAAGUUACCAAUUACUAAAUACUUGUUUAGAAUAGCGGAACAAAAUUCUAAAAUCUUCAAAACUUAACUUCAAAACUAAGUAUCCAUCAACCAAAAUCCAUUAUCCAAAUAAAUUGUAAACUCAAACAAUUAAAGUGCUAACAAAAAUUUUCAUAAUCUCCAAAUCUCAACUUCAAACUAUCAUAAAAUAAAAAUAAAAAAAUUAAAAGUUCAAUAUCUAAAUAGCUUCCAAAAACCAAAUAAUCCAAAUGAACAUAAACUUAUAAGCUAAUAAUGUCCAAAAAUAACAUCCUAAGCAAAAUCCUAAUGAUGACCAUUCCCCAACCUAGCCAUCACUCCUUGCCCGAACUAAGGGUACCUGAAAAAUUAUCAACAAAGGGGAAUAAGCUUAAAGCCCAAUAAAGAAUAUUAAAACAAUUUCAUGGAUUAAAUAGUUUCAAUUAUACUUGCAAAUAGGAGAUCUAGUGUAAAAUCAUUUUCAUAAGAACGUUUGAGUACAGAUAUGCUAAUACAUUUGAAGGUGUUUAACAAAAUUUUUUCCUAUAUAUCAAAUCAUUUCAUAUCCAUUUCAAAUCAAAUACAUUUCAACUGUUUUCACUCUUAUUAUCAAAUAACAAAUAGUGCCCAUUUAAGUGGGACUUUACAAAUAGGUGGCUAGCCUCAGAUGUUCAUUUUUAAGGUGGACGGAACCAAAUACUAAUACAAUAAUAUAUUUGAUCCAUGCUUAAAAGCAAAAUUAACAAUUACACAUUUCAAACAACAUAUAUAUAUAUAUAUAUAUAUUUUCUUUUGCAAAAUCUGUAUUAAUUUCCCUUACCUCAAAAGAAGUCUUCAAAAACUUGGGAGAAAAAUCAUUCAGGAAAAUCUACUCUUCACCUAACAAAGUAUAAGAGAAAUAAUUAUUACUAUUUAUCUAAAAUUACAGGUUUGACAAUUCUAAAAUUUUAGGUAUUCAAAUUAAUGUUUUUAAUUAUGAAAGAUAAUUUAAUCUAUUCCUAUUUUAGAAAAAUUAAUAAAUUUCUAAUUCAUAUAAAACUUAAAUUUUAUUUUCAAUUUAUUUCUUUCUUAGGGCACAACAUAAUUUAAUUAAACUACAAUUUAUUCUACUAAUUAAAUUUUAUGCUACUUAUUAACUUACCCUCAUCAUUAGUAUAAUAAUAUUGAUAACUUCUAUUCUCUUACUUUCAGUUUUUUUUUCCACUAAACAUAAACUAUAUCCCCGACAAUUCUCCAUUAUUGCUAACAUAAUAUAAUAUAUAUAUUAACUAUCAAACACCAUCCGUACACAUUUUCUUUUAUUAUUAAUAUUACUAUUUUUUUUUCUUUUCCCCAUUCUUCAUCUUCCACAAGCACACAUUCUUAUUUCUUUCUUUCUUUUUUUUUUUAAAAAAAAAACUUCCUCUAAUGCACACGUGUUCUCUUUCUUUCUUUCUUUCUUUCCUUUUCUAAUCCCUUAAGCCACAUAUAACAAUAUAUUUAUUUACUCAUUUAUUUAUUUAUUUUUAAAAAAAUUCAUUACUUAGAUCUAUUCAUCUAAGAAAUUUUGAAUUUCCUUAUUUUUAUCAAUAAAACAAUCUAUAUUCCUAAUUUCAAUAUUUUGACCUAAAAGUUUUAAAUAGGUUAACCCUAACCUAAAUCGAAAUCUUCCGGAGAAUCAAUUUUUUUUUUUAAAAAAAAAACUUAAGAUUUCUCAAUUUCUAACAAUAAAACCACCAAUAAUCCUAAAUUUCCAAUAUUUUGACAUUAAAACGAAUUAAAAAAAAUAAACUAACCCUAAUCUAACUAAAUUUUUUUUUUCAAAGAAUAACUAGCGUAUUCAGAACUAACUAACGAAUAUAAUAUAUUAAUUUAAGGUUAGAAUUUUACUUGGAAAAAACCUGAACUUCAACUCUGAAUCUCUAACUCUUGAGCCAUACGAUAUCCAAUUCUCUACUUCUUGUUGAUAAGGUUUUCUGAAUGGAGAAGACAAGAGGAAAAGUCCAAUUUAUACCUAGGAUUUUUAAUUGUAAAAGGACUCUUUCACCCUUAAUGAAUUUAAUUAAUUACUUAAUUACUUUAUAAAUUACUAUUUUACCCCUAGAUUAAAAUUUGGGGUGUUACAUAUCAAGUACUUAAGUCGCUACUUCCAACUGGCUGGCAGCAAAAGCGCAAGUUCAUGGUGAGUUCUCUCUAUAUCCCAUAUAUCAUUGCUUUAAUUAUUAAAAAAAAAAGGUUUAGCGAUAAAGUUCAUAUUAUAUAUUAUUACAAAAAAAGGUCUUGUAAUUAGUUGUGUGUUUUAUUUUUGUAAUUCCUGAGAUCUUGUUAAAGUAUGAGAGAUAUGGAGACAGUUUGUUAUGUUUCCUUAGUUUUUUUCCUUAAUAAAAAGAAACUAAAAUUAAGUUGACAAAAGAAAAGUGUAUUCAAAUAAUACAUAAUUUAGUAAUAAAUGUUGAAUGAAGGAAAGCAACAAUUUCUAUCUUUCAACAUCCUAAUCAUUUUCAUUCUACAGGGUCGUCCCGUCCAUCGCUUUCUGAAACUGGGUGGAACCUUUGCGGCAUUAAAAUCAUUUAUUUUUGGGAGUAGAAUACCAGAUUGGAUAACGUAUCAGAGCUCAGGGAGUGAAGUAAAAGCAAAGCUACUUCCAAAUUGGUUUAAUUCCAACUUCCUGGGUUUUGCUUUUAGUUUUAUCAUUUUUGGCCACUUCUCUUCGCAUGUUCAUGUUAAAAGCGGAUGUCUCAUUUGAUUGGACAUCUAGUGAUGAUUCUUUCCCCAUUGAUAUCAUGAUUUUCGAUAUGAUUUUCUGUAAGAGAAGGUUGAAGUCGGAUCACAUGUGCCUGUUUUAUGUACCACUUCCCCAAUGGAGGAAUUGCUCUCAAAUCAAGGUAUCAUUUAUGGCAUACUCCAAGGAGGGUAAGAUUGAAAUUAAGAGGUGUGGGGUUGGUCUAGUGUACAAUAAUGAAGAUGGGAAUCACAACAAUCCCCUAAUGAUCCAAUUCAACUCUAUUUCCUCUCCUCCUCCUCCUCCUCCUAGUAAGUCAACCGUUGUCCUUGAAGAAAUCCAUGAGGAGGAACCUACAGGAAAUGGGUGCUCUAGUGUUAAUGGCUCAGAAGAAGAGAAUUCUGAAUACCAUAUUGCUGAUGAGGAGGAGCCCAGUACUGCAACUGCCGGCUCUGAGGAUCACUCUGAAUCAGAUAUCUUUGAAAUGCAGUUAUUAAUGAUGACAUCCCUUGAUUAGGAGAAACAGACCAGACAAAUGCUUAAUAUGCACCCAGAUCUUCCUAUUACAUCUCUUGGUGAGUUAUGUGUUACUUUUCUUUUAUUUUCUUUUCUGCUUUUCUUUCUUUUCUGAUUUUGAGUAGAUUUCUUAAUUAAGACCAAUCUUCCAGAACUUAAUUAACUGGGUUGAUGGAUUGGUGAGGGGAUUAUUCUAGUGAAGGAGGAGGAGCAGAAGCAAAGGCAGGAGAGUAGGGAAAAGGUUUUGUAACAGAACCCAAUCUUCCAGAAUCUAAUUGUUGUUGUAUUGUUUUUCUUCAUUCUACGUAACUAAAGGAUUCAUAGUACUCUAAUUUGUUAGAUUCUUCACUUGAUACAUUUAUCACAGGUUUCACUACAAUGUGAAGUAUCAGUUACUAUGCAACCAAGUGACUGCAUGCUUCAAAACCUCAGCAGAACUCAGAGCCUUACAUUUGAUUGCAUUCCUUUUACUAUCUCCACCUUGCAUCAUACUCCCUAUAUCUCAACAUAUUAAUAAGCUUCAAAACUCAAAUAGAGCCUGCAUUUGAUCUCACACUCUCUUGCUUGGCCUCACUUUUAUUUGGUUAUAAUUUAAAUAUGGUAUUUCUGGUUUGAUUUUCUUUCUCCAUUGUAGAACCGUAGUUUUUAAGUAGGUCAUAAGUAAAUUUGAGCCAUUCCUUUGUUUUUUGAGUUGAUUUCUAUGCCUCACCAUGCAACUUGUUGCUCUUAUUUUAUUUCUAUUUCACAUGUUGUUGGUAUGCUUAAGAAUGAUUGUAAGUGAGAAUUUGGGACUAAAAGGAAAAAAAUAAAAAAUAAAAAACUAAUAGUCAAAAAAUAGAAAAAUGGGAAAGUUGUGCUUUGGGCUUCCCAUCCUAACAUAAUAGCAUUUUCAAAACCCAACAAUGGGAAAUAUGAGAACCAACUUUUAAUAUGAAAAGUUUUAUCAUUUUUGUGCACUCUGAGCCUGCUCCAUCUUUUGUGCCCAAAUUGCCCCUCCGUUUCUCCAACUCAGAAUCCUCAACAUCAUCCUAACCUCCAUAUCACUCUUUCUCAUUUGGAAGCUUUCUCUCAUCUUUCUUCAUUUCCGAAUACCCAAAAUCUCUCAUUUCAGUUUAGAAACCCAAAUCCAAAACUCCAAGACGAUGUCAAAAUGCAUUUUUUUGGCUCAUCUAGGAGCCAUGGGAGUCCAAGAGAAUAUGAGAAGAAUGAAAUGGAGCUCGGGUGGAGAGAGUGGGUACCCAAAAAUCGAAACCCUAACCUCCAAAUGUGUCCUAGACUCGCAAAUUUGUGUCCAAGAUAGCUCUAUAAGCAAGAAAUAGCACCAAACAUCUCUCCUAGACCAUUAAAUCUGCGAAGCCCUUGAAGAACCAAAGGAAAUGGUGCAGAAAAUGAAGCACAAUAGACUCUUAAAGUAUUGGGUCCCGAUGAAUCGGUCAACCGGUCCUCAAUCGGUCAACCGGUUCUCGAUCGGUGACUAUACCUUAGAUACUACCUUAACUGACCUUAGGUACUACAUUAAUUAAACUUAGGUAUUACUUGUGUGAAGCCUCAAAACUUCAUUUAUGGAUAUUACUUACUUCAUUUAUGACCUUUAGAGCAUGUCAUUUUGUGAUUAAUUAGUGUGAUUAGUUGGUUUAACUUUGGUAUUUUGGUGACUGUAUCUUAGGUACUACCUUAAUAGCCCUAAGGUACUACAUUAAUCUACCUUAGGUACUACCUUAACUGACCUUAGGUACUACCUAAGUAAAACUUGGGUUCUACCUAUCUGAAGUCUCCGAACUUCAUUUGUGGAUAUUACUUACUUCAUUUAGCAAGAAAGAUAAAUAUUCUAUGUGAAAAAAAUUUAUGAGAAAAAGGAGAUAGAAAUGUGAAGAGAGACACUUGAUGAAAUAAGAAAACUCAUUACAGUAUAGAUGUAAGAAUGAGUAAAAACCACCUAAUAGAGAUACAAAGGUGAAGAUGAAGAUACAAAAAAUCCAUCAAUCAAGAAACUAAUCUUAGGGAAUUAAGCUCACAAAAAAUAUCUAUGUGACCUAAGUGGAAAGUGCCAAGGUGAAUUAAGUGGAAACUAAACCAAGAGAUAUCCAAGUGAUGAAAAAAUGGGCCAAGUGACUUAAGAGUACACCUAAUGGGCCAGCUGCAUCUAAAUGGGCCUAGGGUGACAAGAACACCAAAAAAACCAAUCGAUCGACCCGGUUAAGAAAAAGUCUCAAAUUUCGAUAGAGUGUCCCUCGAGGAAUAAGGAAUCCAACAAAAAAAACAGGUGAGCAAUUCCGAGCUUGGAUGAAGGAGAAAUAACUAAAACAAGCCAGAGUGCUCCCGACUUGGAUGGGCUUUAGCGAACUUCAACUGAACUAUAGUCUUUAUGAAGACCUUAACUUCUAACCUGUAGUAUGAUACAAACCAAGGAAUUGACCAUGAUGACAUUUCAUAAUAGACCAAAUGCUCGCACUAAAUUGAACCAUAGGUGGACUCACGUGAUGUCCAAAAACCGAUUAACUCCAACAAGAGCCCCAUGGCCAUGACAUACAAAGGUUGGGUGCGGGCAACACCCCAAGAUACAUGCAAGUGUCAAGGGACAAAAUUGAGGGUCUAUAGUAGGAAUUUGGAGUAUGAGCGGAAUAGGGAAAACAACCCUUGCUAGUGCUAUUUACAGAAAAAUCAGUGGUCACUUUGAAGUGUGCUGUUUUUUUUUAAAUGUUGAGGAGGAUUUGGAAAAUGAGGGUUUAAUAAGAUUACAACAAAAGUUUCUUGCUCAACUAUUGGAGGAAUCAAAUCUAAAUAUUAAGGUCCUUACAUUUAUAAAGGAAAGGAUCCACUAAAUAAAGGUCCUUAUUGUUCUUGAUAAUGAGAAUGAUCCAAUAAUAUUGAAAUGCUUCGUUGGAAAUCGGGAGUGGUUUGGUCGAGAUUUAAUUAUGAUGAUGCUCAAAGGUUCCUUUCACAUUAUUUGUUAAAACAUGAAAUUCUUAGAGAUUAUUUCAUGGAACUUUCAAGAGAAGUAAUAGGUUAUGCUCAAAGCCUCCCAUUGGCUCUAGAAGUUUUAGGCUCUUUUUUAUUUAGCAUGACCAAAGAAGAAUGGAGAAAUCAAUUAGACAAAUUGAAAAGUACCCCUAAAAUGAAAAUUCAAGAAGUACUUAAAGUAAGUUAUGAUGGGCUAGAUGACAAGGAGAAGAAUAUAUUUCUAGACAUUGCAUAUUUCUUUAAAGGAGAGAAUAAAAAUUAUGUAAUGGAAAUACUAGAUGGUUGUAGCUUCUUCUCACUUAGUGGAACACGAGCUCUCAUUGAUAGGUCACUCAUAACCAUUUUUUUCAAAUAAGUUGAUGAUGCAUGACCUAAUACAAGAAAUGGGUAGGGAAAUUGUUCAUCAACAAUUCCUUGAAGAGCUUGGUAAACGCAGUAGAUUAUGGUUCCAUGAAGAUAUCUAUGAUGUAUUGAAAAAAAAUAUGGUAAGAGCAAAAAAUAUAAAAUUUAUUUUUUGUAAACAAAUUAAGAUUAGAAAUCAAGAAUUAUUUUCAUUUAAAUAGUUAUGUGUCGAUAAAUUUUAAUCGAAAGAUACUCUUUGGAUAGAUACCCAUAUUUGCAUAGAUACCCUUUGAGAUCACUACCUAAUGAUUUUAAUCCAAAGAAUCUUGUUGACCUUUUCAUAUCUUAUAGUCACAUUAAAAAACUUUGGAAAGAAACUCGAAAUGUCUGGGGAGAGGAAAGGUUCCUUUUUUUUUUUUUAGGGUACUCCCGGGAACAGAUCCAGUGGAGACGGGGUGGGGCCUGUAGCUCAGAGGAUUAUGAUGUAUUCACAUUAUUUUCUUUAGAGACAUGUAACCUAAGUAACCUAACCCACACACCCAUUUCUAGUUUGUGAACUUGCUUUGUUGUUUAAGGAGACACAUGAUUUGUUCUCUUAUUUUGUUUUUACUUUUAAAUAUAAAUAAAAUAAACUGUAACCCCAAAACUCAAUUAAAAAAUUAGUUUUGAAAGACAAAUUUUAUUACCAUCCGAGUCUUGCUAUCGAGUGGGAUGUGUGAAAAAAAUAUUGGUUCCAAUGCAUUCACUAUUCAAACCAAACACUUUGCCUAAAUUUCCUUUUGGGUUUAUUUAUAAGUUUUCCUUAUUUUUCUAUUUGGAUCAUAUUUUGUACAAGAAUUUCCUAUUAUUAUAAAAUAUAAAAAAAAAAGUGCCAUAGUGAUGUUUUAUUUACAAAAAUAUGUUCAUCCCUUUAUAAAAUAUUCCUAUGUUGAUAUGUACUUAUAAUAUUAUAUUUCAUUAUACUCAUAAAAUUAGAUUUCAUUGUACGAUAAGGAAAAUUGUUAAAAAUAUUAUAUAAAUAUUAUAAAUUAGGAGGGAAACGGAGAUGAUCAUAUAAAGCUUAUACCGAGUAGGUAUACACAGGAGAAAAAAAUAAGACACUAAGUGGAGUGAAGGCUCAUGGUUCAAGGUGUAGGUACAAAGAUGAGGAGACUUUGCUGCAAUGCCCUUCAACUUUGGGUCAAGCUUGGAUUUCUGCAAUGAUGACUGGGUCAAGGUAGACUUUCACUUCAAGAUUGACCUUCGCUUGAACCUCAAAAGCUGAUUUAUCUUCUUCAACCUUUUUUAUGCAUCCAAGUUGUGCAAAAGCAACAUAUUUAAUGCUUCAAUACUGCCUUCAUCCAGGUUGAAAAUACCCCUUUGUGAAUUUUGCCUAUGGGACUGGGACCAUAAACCAAAGCACAAGUUACGUUAACUGCCGAAGCAGUCGAUUAAAUUCCUAAUUUUAAACACUACAUAAGGGAACAAGAAAUUCACCUAGAAGGGAACUCUGCCAUUUCCUUGGGGAGACUAAAUCUCUGACUUUCAACAACCCAUUGUAAAUAAUCAUCCUGGAAUAUGAGAAAGCAAGAAAAAACAUUCAGCCAAAAAACUGCAACACCAACACCACAACUAGUUUGGAUGUAGUGGUGGAAAGAAAAGCAUCAGUCAUUUGUUGACCUUGCCCUAAGAUAAUGCCAAGAACUUGUCUUUCUGCUUCACCGGGCUCAAUUGCAUGAGCAGCCAAUGCACUUAAUGCAGCCUGACAACUCAAAUAGUUUGAAACAGUAUUUAUGUUCAGCGGUGGACUAUAACAAGAAUGAAAAAACAAAAAAGAAAAAAGCAAUAAACUGGCAUGUGCAAAAUGCCACCUACUAUGGGAGUUCAAGAGAUCUGCAUAAGGUGCAACUGCAGUGUGAAGGCUGCAAAAGGCCACAUUCCAUCAUCCUUUCUUCGAUUUGCAUUUUUCGAUAUGUAAAUACAGAUCAAAGCAUCUUACAAAUACAGGAGGCCAUGAUCAAAAGACAUAAAAGCAGCAAAUAAAGGAAACAAAGGAACUCUUACCAAUCAAUCCAGACUUUGCAGUAGAUUCUCUAACGAAAAAGCCCUCACUGGACUUUUCAAUAGGGAAAGAGUAUACAAGGACCAAUGGACCCAGAGGAUGAAGAAAGUAUUCCAGCAAAGAGACUCUCACUGGAUUCUUCAACUGGGAACAAUGUUCAGGAAGAAGGAAACAGGUACCAAGUGAUACAGACAGCGAAGAAAGCAGUUCAACGAUGAUGCAUUCAGAAGGCUCUUCAACAGGGCAGAGUGCACAAGAAGCAGAAAAACUGAAACCAAUGGACUUGGAUUCUACAGAAGGCACUCCAUAUACAGCAGGCUCUUCAUUUUCAUUUUAUGCAGUAGUUUUAGAUUCAUAUGAUGCCAUAUUAGGAUUUGAAUCCAGGUCCCUGUACGUUUUUCCAUUGGUUGUCAAACUUGGGUUCUACCUUAGGUACUACCUUAACUGACCUUAGGUACUACCUAAGUAAAACUUGGGUUCUACCUAUCUGAAGUCUCCGAACUUCAUUUGUGGAUAUUACUUACUUCAUUUAGCAAGAAAGAUAAAUAUUCUAUGUGGAAAAAUUUAUGAGAAAAAUGAGAUAGAAAUGUGAGGAGAGACACUUGAUGAAAUAAGAAAACUCAUUACAGUAUAGAUGUAAGAAUGAGUAAAAACCACCUAAUAGAGAUACAAAGGUGAAGAUGAAGAUACAAAAAAUCCAUCAAUCAAGAAACUAAUCUUAGGGGAUUAAGCUCACAAAAAAUAUCUAAGUGACCUAUGUGACCUAAGUGGAAAGUGCCAAGGUGAAUUAAGUGGAAACUAAACCAAGGAGAUAUCCAAGUGAUCAAAAAACGUGCCAAGUGACUUAGGAGUACACCUAAUGGGCCAGCUGCAUCUAAAUGGGCCUAGGGUGACAAGAACACCAAAAAAACCAAUCGAUCGAUGCGGUUGAGAAAAAUUCUCAAAUUUUGAUAGAGUGUCCCUCGAGGAAUAAGUAAUCCAACAAAAAAAAAACAAGGUGCGCAAUUCCGAGCUCGGAUAAGAGAGAAAUAACUAAAACAAGCCAGAGUGCUCCCGACUUGGAUGGGCUUUAGCAAACUUCAACUGAACUACAAUCUUUAUGAAGACCUUAACUUCUAACCUGUAGUAUGAUACAAACCAAGGAAUUGACCAUGACGACAUUUCAUAAUGGACCAAAUGCUCGCACUAAAUCUAACCAUAGGUGGACUCACGUGAUGUCCGAAAACCGAUUAACCCCAACAAGGGCCCCAUGGUCGUGACAUACAAAGGUUGGGUGCGGGCGAUACCCCCAAGAUACAUGCAAGUGUCAAGGGACAAAAUUGAGGGUCUACAGUAGGAAUUUGGAGUAUGAGCGGAAUAGGGAAAACAACCCUUGCUAGUGCUAUUUACAGAAAAAUCAGUGGUCACUUUGAAGUGUGUUGUUUUUUUGAAAAUGUUGAGGAGGAUUUGGAAAAUGAGGGUUUAAUAAGAUUACAACAAAAGUUUCUUGCUCAACUAUUGGAGAAACCAAAUCUAAAUAUUAAGGUACUCAUAUCUAUAAAGGAAAGGCUUCACUCGAAAAAGGUCCUUAUUGUUCUUGAUAAUGAGAAUGAUCCAAUAAUAUUGAAAUGCUUGGUUGGAAACCAGGAGUGGUUUGGUCGAGAUUUAAUUAUGAUGAAGCUCAAAGGUUCCUUUCACAUUAUUUGUUAAAACAUGAAAUUCUUAGAGAUGAUUUCAUGGAACUUUCAAGAGAAGUAAUAGGUUAUGCUCAAAGCCUCCCAUUGGCUCUAGAAGUUUUAGGCUCUUUUUUAUUUAGCAUGACCAAAGAAGAAUGGAGAAAUCAAUUAGACAAAUUGAAAAGUACCCCUAAUAUGAAAAUUCAAGAAGUACUUAAAGUAAGUUAUGAUGGGCUAGAUGACAAGGAGAAAAAUAUAUUUCUAGACAUUGCAUGUUUCUUUAAAGGAGAAGAUAAAAAUUAUGUAAUGGAAAUACUAGAUGGUUGCAGCUUCUUCUCACUUAGUGGAACACGAGCUCUCAUUGAUAGGUCACUCAUAACCAUUUUUUCAAAUAAGUUGAUGAUGCAUGACCUAAUAAAAGAAAUGGGUAGGGAAAUUGUUCGUCAACAAUUCCUUGAAGAGCCUGGUAAACACAAUAGAUUAUAGUUCUAUGAAGAUAUCUAUGAUGUAUUGAAAAAAAAUAUGGGAAGAGCAAAAAAUAUAAAAUUUAUUUUUUGUAAACAAAUUAAGAUUAGAAAUCAAGAAUUAUUUUGAUUUAAAUAGUUAUGUGUUGAUAAAUUUUAAUCGAAAGAUACUCUUUGGAUAGAUACCCAUAUUUGCAUAGAUACCCUUUGAGAUCACUACCUAAUGAUUUUAAUCCAAAGAAUCUUGUUGAUCUUUUCAUAUCUUAUAGUCACAUUAAAAAACUUUGGAAAGAAAUAAAUGUAUGAUUAUGAUGUAUUCACAUUAUUUUCUUUAGAGACAUGUAACCUAAGUAACCUAACCCUCACACUCAUUUCUAGUUUGUGAACUUGCUUUGUUGUUUAAGGAGACACAUGAUUUGCUCUCUUAUUUUGUUUUUACUUUUAAAUAUAAAUAAAAUAAAUUGUAACCCCAAAACUCAAUUAAAAAAUUAGUUUUGAAAGACAAAUUUUGUUACCGUCCAAGUCUUGCUAUCGAGUGGGAUGCAUGAAAAAAAUAUUGGUUCCCAUGCAUUCCCUAUUCAAACCAAACACUUUGCCUAAAUUUUCUUUUGGGUGUAUUUAUAAGUUUUCCUUAUUUUUCUAUUUGAAUCAUAUUUUGUAAAAGAAUUUCCUAUUAUUAAAAAAAAAAAAAAAAGUGCCAUAGUGAUGUUUUAUUUGCAAAAAUAUGUUCAUCCCUUUAUAAAAUAUUCCUAUGUUGAUAUGUACUUAUAAAAUUAGAUUUCAUUGUACGAUAAGGAAAAUUGUUAAAAAUAUUAUAUAAAUAUUAUAAAUUAGGAGGGAAACGGAGAUGAUCAUAUAAAACUCAUACCGAGUAGGUAUACACAUGAAAAUAAGACACUAAGUCGAGUGAAGGCUCAUGAUUCAAGGUGUAGGCUCAUGGUUCAAGGCUCAUGGGCCUGGGACCAUAAACCAAAGCACAAGUUACAGUAACUGCCGAAGCAGUCGAUUAAAUUCCUAAUUUUAAACACUACAUAAGGGAACAAGAAAUUCAGCUAGAAGGGAACUCUGCCAUUUCCUUGGGGAGACUAAAUCUCUGACUUUCAACAACCCAUUGUAAAUAAUCAUCCUGGAAUAUGAGAAAGCAAGAUAAAGCAUUCAGCCAAAAAACUGCAACACCAACACCACAACUAGUUUGGAUGUAGUGGUGGAAAGAAGAGCAUCAGUCAUUUGUUGACCUUGCCCUAAGAUAAUGCCAAGAACUUGUCUUUCUGCUUCACCGGGCUCAAUUGCAUGAGCAGCCAAUGCACUUAAUGCAGCCUGACAACUCAAAUAGUUUGAAACAGUAUUUAUUUUCAGCGGUGGACUAUAACAAGAAUGAAAAAAAAAAAAGGAAAAAAAAAAAAGAAAAAUGCAAUAAACUGGCAUGUGCAAAAGAUCUGCAUAAGGUGCAACUGCAGUGUGAAGGUUGCAAAAGGCCACAUUCCAUCAUCCCUUCUUCGAUUUGCAUUUUUCGAUAUGUAAAUACAGAUCAAAGCAUCUUAGAAAUACAUAAAAGCAGCAAAUAAAGGAAACAAAGGAACUCUUACCAAUCAAUCCAGACUUUGCAGUAGAUUCUCUAACGAAAAAGCCCUCACUGGACUUUUCAAUAGGGAAAGAGUAUACAAGGACCAAUGGACCCAGAGGAUGAAGAAAGUAUUCCAGCAAAGAGACUCUCACUGGAUUCUUCAACUGGGAACAAUGUUCAGGAAGAAGGAAACAGGUACCAAGUGAUACAGACAGAGAAGAAAGCAGUUCAACGAUGAUGCAUUCAGAAGGCUCUUCAACAGGGCAGAGUGCACAAGAAGCAGAAAAACCGAAACCAAUGGACUUGGAUUCUACAGAAGGCACUCCAUAUACAGCAGGCUCUUCAUUUUCAUUUUAUGCAGUAGUUUUAGAUUCUUAUCCCACAUCUUUUUCUUCUCUUUCCUUCUGUCACCACAGUCAUAUGAUGCCAUAUUAGGAUUUGAAUCCAGGUCCCUGUACGUUUUUCCAUUGGUUGUCAAACUAAGAUCAUGGAAUUGUGCAUAUUGGUAUUCUUUAGAAUCAUAAAAGAGUAUAAUUUCAUAAUGGUCAUGAAAUAUUAUGAUCUCCUAUCCAAAUAAAGAACCAAACAAACAAAUCAUCCAAAUUAUAUCAAGAAGUAAAUUUUAAAAAAAUGCAAAAUCGCCAACCAUAAUAGUUGCAUCCCAGCCCUAGGUUUUCAUUACUGCAGGAACCCUGUAUCUCUAUUUUCUAUGCAUAGGUUCAACCACAAAGGAGCCUUUGUUUAUCAUCCAAGUAAAUAGGGAAACAACUGAAGAACAUGCUCAACCAGGAAAGCAGAACACUAAUUCUAUAAUAAGAUAGAAAUUACUCCAUCAAAGCUAAUGCCUCUGGAAGAAUAGACAAUCAGAUCCAACAACAGCAGCAAAGCAAAGACGUCAUACCUCAGGGCUUGAAAUCAGCAAAUCAUAAUGCCUCCACACCUCUGAAAUCAGCAUCAUGAAUCCCACCAGAUCUUAGGGCUUACUUUUGGACCUGAAACAUAGAAAUUACUUGGUAGUUAAACGACUCAACACUAUUCGGACUUUUUUAGGAGUAGAAGGCGAUCUGCCGCAGUAUUUGGAGGGCUGCGGCAGAUGAAAAGGGUUUUCUAUUUUUUAUUUUUCACGUCUCCUGCGUUUCCCUUUUGGUUACGAAGGCUAUUCCCUUCAUCCAAAAGAAGAAGCAUAAUAUUCCCAUAACCACUCCCACAAAGAAAAGCAAUCCAAAAGUAAAAGUGGGUUCAGAAUAAGAUAUAGCAUAUUUCGAUGGGUAACCUCUGAUUCUGAGUCAUGGUCACGUCCUCACAUUCAAUGGGUUCCCCCGCAGAGAUUUCUUUAAGGACAAGAGUUGACUCAUUAGGGGAGGAGUAGAGAAGAGAGAAUUGAAAUUCACCUCUUCAUUAACAUACAUUAAACCUAACCCACAUCUCUUAAUUUCAUAAUAGUUCGGCACGGACAUUAUUGCAAAUGUAGCCUUGAUGUGAAUGACUUGAUGCGGACUGAGUGAGGGUUGAACUGGUGCAAAAGUCAGAACCACAUGAUCCCCUUCAGCGAAAACACUAUUUUCCAUGGGGAAAGAAAUACCAGUUUCGAAAGAACGGCGACAUGUGCCAAAGUCCAAGAAAACACGUGCCCAAAACCAAUCAUCAUAAGCGACAGGAAACCGGCCACCGAAGACAAGAGCCAAUGCAAAACCCAGGCAGUUGGUAGACCAAUUUAGGGGUAGGUCUGCUUCAAUUACAUUCCUCGAGCUCUGAUACCUGAUCCAAUCUGGUAUUCUACUCCCAGGAAUCACAACACCGAAUGUAGAAUCCUGCAGAAAGAAAAUAAAUAAUGUCCAUGUUGAGAGAGCGAGAAAUUGCUACUUUCCCAUCUUGAUUCAUUCAACAUUUAUUUUACACUAUCAGUCUAAUUUAGUAAAACAGAACAAAGACUAAAAUAUGAGUUGUCUCCUCAUAUUUCAUACAGGCAAAAGCUUUUUAUUUUUUAUUUUUUAUUUUUUAUAACGAAAAUUGGAUUUAAAGAGAACUCACUAGGGAUUCGAGUUCCCGCGGUCUCAGCAGAGUAUGCACCUUCGUUGUAAGUAGCAAGUUGAGUAAUUCAGUUGUUCCCAACGAUGUGCAAUUUUUUGCAUUUAAAGAACGUAUGCUUGAUGGAAGCUGUGAAAGUGCCUCUAGUCUUUUACAAUUUCCCAACCGAAGCGUUUCCAGGUGAGAGAGUCCACUCAUGUUAGGCAAAGUGACAAAGUUGUUUCCACUUAAAUUUAACCAUUCAAGUGAAACUAAGAAGCCAAGGCCACUAACAUUUGCUCCAUCUGAUAUAUUGCAGUAACUUAAAUCUAGGUUCUUUAAAGAGCAUAAGUUUGAGGAAGAAGGUACCGUGAAACAAAUAGAAUUUGAACUUCUUUUUGGCCACAACCAUGAGGCAGAUGCUGGUCCUUUACAUCCACCGAAAGAUAACUUUUCAAGGUUUCUCAUGGAAAAAAAGGAGGGGGGUAGUACUCUUACCACAAUUCCAUCUGCGUGAAGCUCCUUCAACAUUUCUAAGUUCCCAAAAUUCUCUGGAAAUUCUUCAAAUUUGGAGCAACCAGAAAGAAUAAAGGUUUCAAGAGAUUUCAAACUACAAGUGCUGCUUGGAAGCCUUCUAAGCAUUGUGCAAUUUUUUAAACUCAAGAAAUUUAGCUUCUUCAAAACUCCAAGUGAUGGGUGAACCUUAGGCAAAUUUAU
RNAcentral lists this long non-coding RNA (63554 nucleotides) under Vitis vinifera (wine grape). Its description in RNAcentral is "long non-coding RNA (VVIN_LNC007099)". Lineage: Eukaryota; Viridiplantae; Streptophyta; Magnoliopsida; Vitales; Vitaceae. The record is from RNAcentral.